This 52760-nucleotide long non-coding RNA is filed under the name Medicago truncatula (barrel medic). RNAcentral describes it as "long non-coding RNA (MTRU_LNC002371)". The stretch from base 3964 to 4046 matches the Rfam family "tRNA". The record is from RNAcentral. Lineage: Eukaryota; Viridiplantae; Streptophyta; Magnoliopsida; Fabales; Fabaceae.
AGAAGUUAUCUUAAACGUAGAAGAAACAUUUUCCAUUUUUAAUUUAAGUCUAUUGUACAUUGUAUUAUACAAGUAAGAGUAACACUUUUUUAAUAGUGUUCAUUACACCUAAUAAAAUGAGGUGCCGGGCCCUAACCUAUAAGUCCAUGCUCCCACUCAUACUACCCAUAUAUAUUGAAUUAUUUUAUCAUUCAAUAUAUAUCCAAUUUCCUCAUGUUAUAAGUUUUGGUGGAGAUCAUGCUUCAAAUGAUGUGAAAUUUGAUUAACUAAUUAAUCAACACGGAUUUGAAACUUACUUUGAAAGGUGAAAAACAUGAUCCUCGAGAUUUAUUCAUGGUUAUGAAAUAAAGCAUAAAACAUUAAAAGUUAUCUGCAAUGAAGUUUCAUUUUUUUUUUUUUGUUACAAGCCACGAAGUUUCCUAUGUCACUCAAAUUCAAUCACUGCUUUGGUGACUUUCCCUUCCUCUUUUCAAUAUAGAAGAACACACCUAGGGACACAACCGAGAAAGCACUGAAGACAACGGAGCAGAUAUCAAGUGUCGCGUGGCGGCCACUGAUUGCAUUGAUCUCAAACAAGUUGGUACUCUUACCCGCGUUCGUGGUUUGGCCAUAAGCCACUUCCUUAUCGUUGGAAUCAAAUGCAUAGGCGCGUACAAAGUACGUUGCCUGAGGAACGUCGCGCUGAAUCAACCACUCGAAGGUUUGGACCGUUUUGUUGGAAGCAUUGUAUGGCAUGGCUAACAUUUUGUGUUGGCAAGUUUUGUCCCUAGAGAGUUCAUCCUCUGUCUUUCUCCAAGCGCGGUCUUUUUGGCUUAUGGCCGCGUAGCACAACUUCAGCUUUAUGGUUUUGUAUGAAGAGUCUGUUCCAGCUGGGAAGGUCUUGUUUAGAGCCCAUGUCCCACUGAUUUUGUCUACUCCAGAUAACAGAACUGCAUAGAUAUUUCAUAGCAAAAUUGAGUUUAUAUUUAAGGAGUAUUUAACAUCAUGACUUAUAUAAAAUUAUAAUUAAAUACGCCAAUACAAAAGGUGCAAAAUCUUAUUGUUACAAUUACCUUGUCCAUGCUUAGGGGAAGCUGUGACAUCAAGGGUUCUUUUCAAGGAAGAAAAGAGAUCCUUUCCAUAACAAAGUUCAGAUAAACAGCAUAGAAGAAGUGAUGCUACCACAAGCUUGUGUGCUGCCAUAGUUACUUAUAAAGAAAAGUCAACUUGGUGAAAAGGAGUAGACUUGAGAGAAAAGCCAAAAUUGGAAUGAUAUUAUGAGAAGAAUCUGAAUGGAGAUGCACUCAUUCUAAAGCAUUAUAUAUAAGGCAAAAUCCAAAUAAAAUAGUAUAAAUCUAUAUAAGUCAAAAGGCCCAAAUGCCCAAAAUAUAGUCUAAAAAAUAAUGGACGGAAGAAGCAAGUUGUAGACAGUAUAGCCCUUGAACAUAUAGAAGGGUCAUCCUAUUCAAAUCCAACGCAAGCUUAUUGGACUGAUGGAUAUAGUUUAGUUUAAUUUAUGGAUUAGUACAGGUUAAUUUGGCAACUGUUUAUUUUAAUAUUCCUUUAAUUGUGACACUAAGGUCCGUAUGAUAAUUUUUUGUCGAGAAAGAAAAAUAAAGUUCCCCUAAAAAAAAGAAUAAAAUUAAAACUGUUAUUGUGUUUGUAUUUUCUUCUUCUGCUCAAUAGCUUGAAGUUUUUCUUUUUGAAAUGAAAGGUUCGGGUGAGAUGUUGUAUGUCCCCCAUGUUCUCUACAUGAUUAAGUUCAUUUUUUCAUUCUUCAAAAAAAUAUAUUCAUUUUUUCAUAUAAAGCAUUUUUUUUCAUGUUUAUCAAAGAGAGUCUACAGCAUUAUUUAUGAUAAGUUGAUACUAAAAUAUUAAAAAAAAAAAAAAAAAAAAAAAGGUCUCAUGCUCAUCACAGUUCAAGUAUAAAUGUCAAUAAUUUAAUGGGUUCUAAUUCCUUGAUUCCCAUUUGAUCUUAUAUUGUUAUCUUAGUUUUGUCCUCGUAUGUCCUGGAAAGGACAAGCAAGCAAACUGUGUUCUUAAAGUUUGGCUUUCCGUACUCCAUGUCUCAGAUCAACCUUUUUAUCCAAAAAAAAAAAUUUCUCCGAUCAACCUUUAUGUAAUGAAAAGCCACAUUUUCUCUAUGUAAUUUUGUUAUUAAAUCCGGUUAGGAUGGACUGUUGACUUAAGACCUUGCAGUAUAUUCUUAACAAGAUUUUAAAUUUGAUUCUCUUCAUGUCGAUUUUGAUGGACUAACAUAUGUUCUUAAAAAAAAUUACUUUUGUUAAUGUUUUUUUACAAAUUUAAAAUAACCUACUAUAAAUCAUGUUUUUUAGACAAUAUAACAGUGUUGUGAAUUGCCUUAUUUGCAUGUAUAUUAACAUAAAUAAUGUUGCUUGAGAGUGUUAAUAGAAAGAAAUAAUUUUAUAUUUAUAAAUUAUUUUCAUAGGCUCUCCAAGAUAACUUAUAAAAAUAAUGUAUAAUUUUUUACUUUAUUUUAUCUUUUGUCAUAGAAUGAAUGAAAUGCGUAAAUUAUUGUUGCUAUGUCCAUUGUCGAUGAGGUGUAAGAGGACAAACAUGUAUGAAAUUUUACGCCUCAUGGCGUUAGCUUCGCGUGUCAACACAUCAUGAAAAAUUUAGUCGAUAACGCGGACUUACGUGUAGAGGGCAAUUGGACGAAAUUAUGGCAUCUCAAAGUACCACUAAAAAAAUGAAGGUUUCCCUAUGGAAGGUGGCACGCGGUUACCUACCAACAGGAUACCGCCUUCAAACACAGAGUAUUCAGUGUAAUGAUCAUUGUGUGAUGCGGGAUAGGUUGUAUAAAAAUGAUUGACAUGUUUACUUUGGUUGCGACAAGUUAGAAGUCGUGUGGGAAGUGGCGCGGCUGUGUCAUAUCAUCAAAGAGAAUCUAGUAGUAGCAAAUGGAUUUGCAACUCUCUUCUUUCAACUAUUCGAACAACUUCCUCAUCAACAACUCCUUAUUUUUGUAAUGACUUUGUGAUGCAUAUGGAAAAGAAGAAAUGAGAAGCUUUCGAGUGAUAUAAAUACGAAUCCACGUAUGUUGGUGUACAUGGCACAUGAAUCUUUGAUGAAAUGGCAGCAAGCCCACGAACAUGCAUACAACAAGGAGGAAUGAUAAAGCAAUUCUAACAAAACAAUAAGUCAUAAUCAUGACAACUUGAGCUAAAUGGAGGUAGGAGAGGUCAAGUUCACAUCGAUGCAGCAAUCUUCAAGGAACAAGAGUGUUUAUGGAAUAUGCAUGUGCGUUAGAGGAAGUCUAGGAGAGUUCAUAAAGGCAAAAAUAACUUGGUUCUUUGGAUUACAGCAACCACACGAAGCGGAGGCAAGGGACUUAAAGGAAGCGAUAAAGUGACUUGACAAUAUAGGUCUAUCUAAAGUGUCUAUCGAACUUGAUUGCAAGCAAGUGGUUGACGGUAUAAUUAAGAGACUCAACACCAAUUCCAUGUUUGACGCUAUUAUUGAUAUUUGAACAACUUCACUUAAAACCUAUCAAAACUAGGAGACAAACAAAUAGUGUUGCUCAUUUGUUAACAAGGACGUCAUUAUCUUAUGCUAGUUUCCACAUUCAUGAUCAUAUUCUAUCUUGUACUGAGACUGUAAUUAUUGAUGAAAUGAGUUAAGUUUGCUUUCGUCAAAAAAAUAAUCUUUUAUUAUAGAAUUAAAUUGUAUAUUAUAUACGAUAAAUGUUUAUUUUUUUUUUUUGGCAAAAUAAAUGCUUAUGUUUAAAACGCUUAAUUGAAUUGUUUAUACAAGCACGACAUAUAUAAUUGAGUAAUUUUAUCUCAUAGUCGUUACAAAAAAAUAUUAGAAGUUUAUAUAACAUCACAAAUCUUAAUAAAUUUAAUAAUGUUAUAAUAUUAACAAAAAGAUGUAGGUUUCGUAUCCAACAAAAAAAAAGAUGUAUAUAGAAGAUAGAAGUAUAGAUAUAAUAAGAGAAAAAAAGAACAAGAGAAAACAUAUCAAGCAGGCUUGCCCGAGUGGUCUAAGGGGGUAGACUUAAGACCUACUGCACUGAGUGCGCGUGGGUUCAAACCCCACAGCCUGCAAAAUUCUUUUGCUUAUUUUUUUUUUUUUAAUUAUUUGUAUUUUUGCUCUAGAGCUUUUUUGGUCCUAUUUGACUCAUAAGAAAAAUGCAUCUCUAUGAUUACAAAGUAUAUGUUUGACACCAUUUCAACAUAUUUCGACUGACAAUAAAUAAUAUAUCAAAAUUUGUUCAAUUAGAAAGUUACAUCAUUAUCUCAACUGAACUAAAAUAUGGUUGCUUUCACACCAAUUACUACUACUGUCCCGAUUGCACAGGAUAUGAUAUUUUAGAAUCAAUUAAAUUUUUAUCAUUUUCUCAAGUUAUAAAUAGAUUUUUUAGAGGUAAUAAAUUAUUUUUGUAUACGUAUAAAAUAUAUAAUGACCUUAAAAUCAUUUGGAGUGCACGGCAUAUAUAUAUGUAAUUUGUUCAUAUAGAACUUGCUUUGGCACUUUGCUAUAAGCUUAAUUAAUUAUUUACAAAAAUUUCAUUCUGCAAAUGCUUAAUUUAUCAUCUCAGACAAUUAUUUCCCUACUAAGGAACCUUCAUUGAGCUUCAAAAUUUAGUGUUAGCUAACCCACGUCGAUUCAGUAAUGAAAAAAAAUACUAAUAAAUAUCUUUAGAACACUUGAUAAAAAGUUUAAAAUAAGACUUCCAUUGGCCUAUCCAACACUAAAGCUUAAAUAAAUUAAAGGAUCAAUUUUAUCUUUUUAUUAAAUACAAUCGCAUAGUUAGCAUUAAAAUUUGUCGGUUAUAUAAAUGUGAAUUAUCACGUUAACAGUACAAGUUUGCCACCAGCAAUUAAUAACAAAUAAGGAAUGUGGUUUUGUAAAUAUACAUUGUGACUGGUUGUUUUUUUAGGUUGGUCCCUCUGGUACACCUUGUACCGAGGGGUCUCCAACGUCGUAGCUAAUAUAUUUCAUUUUGAUUUUUUCUAAAAAAAAAAAAACAAAUAAGGAAUGUGAGUUCGCUAAUGAGAUUUCCAAGUCAAACUAAGGAGUACAGAUAAAUAUUUAAGAGGAAAUUGGCAUCCACAAAUAUAUAUUCAUAACAAACAAAUAUAUAUAUAUAUAUAUAUUUUUUUAUACCAAAAUAAGAAAUAACUAUUAUAAAUACCUAUACCUGUUAUGAAAUUAACAUAAACUAUAGCAAGAUAUUGCAAACUAUAGAAGAAUGGAGAUAAGAGAGAAAGGGAAAAUAUAGAAUAGAGAAUAAAAGAGUAUUGCAUUAUGCUCUUCAAAGAUUGUAAUUCUUGCAAUGUCACCUGACUCCUAUUUAUAUGACAUAAAUGAAGUUAAGAGCAAUACCAAUGAGUGAAAACCAUAUAGUCAUAGGACCUAUAGACUAUCCAUGAAAUAUGAAAAACUUAGGGAGCUGCACAUCCACCAAAUAUUCAUAACAUUAUUGAUAAUAUUAUUUAAUUAGGCCUGCAGCAUAUAUAAGGCAUAAUAAAGCAUUCAAAACAAUCUGCCAUGAAGUUUCCUAUGUCACUUAAUUCAAUCACUGCUUUGGUGACUUUCCCUUCCUUUUUUCAAUAUAGAAGAACACACCUAGGGACACAACCGAGAAGGCGCUGAAGACAACGGAGCAGAUAUCAAGAGUCGCGUGGCGGCCACUGAUUGCGUUGAUCUCAAACAAGUUGGUACUCUUACCCGCGUUCGUGGUUUGGCCAUAAGCCACUUCCUUAUCGUUGGAAUCAAAUGCAUAGGCGCGUACAAAGUACGUUGCCUGAGGAACGUCGCGCUGAAUCAACCACUCGAAGGUUUGGACCGUUUUGUUGGAAGCAUUGUAUGGCAUGGCUAACAUUUUGUGUUGGCAAGUUUUGUCCCUAGAGAGUUCAUCCUCGGUCUUUCUCCAAGCACGGUCUUUUUGGCUUAUGGGCGCGUAGCACAAUUUCAGCUUUAUGGUUUUGUAGGAUGAGUCUGUUCCAGCUGGGAAGGUCUUGUUUAGAGCCCAUGUUCCACUGAUUUUGUCAACUCCGGAUAACAGAACUGCAUAGGUAUUUCAUACCAAAAUUGAGUUUAAUCAGCUUGAAGGAGUAUUUAACAUCAUGUAAAAACAAGUAUGCAAUCACAAUAUAGGAUAAGACAUUCAUUUAUUAAGGUUUUUGAUGCGUAUUAACUUUGCAAAAAUUAAGGUUGCAUCAGUCAUAUUCCUUUGUGAUCAUUUGUAUUAUCAAAAAUUGCAACGCGACUGCAGUUUAAAAACCUUAUUAAAUAACACACUGGACUCUAUUAAACUUGGCCAAAUUUUCUUGAAAAAUGUUCAUAGUGGUAUAUGAGAUUAUUCAAAUUCAAGAAAAGAGGAAGGAACAUAAUCACAUACAAAUCAAAAUUAAAUCAAGUAUCUUUUUAAAGAAGAAAAAAAGUGACUUUGUCUUCAAAUUAAUUCAUCAAAAUUAAACAUGAUCUAUGUGAUUCAUCAUAUUCUAUUUUAACUAGCAUAAGUCAAUACAAGGUGCAAAUUCUUCUUGUUACUUACCUUGUCCCUGCUUAGGGGAAGCUGUGACAUCAAUGGUUCUUUUCAAGGAAGAAAAGAGAUCCUUUCCAUAACAAAUUUCAGCUAAACAGCAUAGAAGAAGUGAUGCCACCACAAGCUUGUGUGCUGCCAUAGUUACUUAUAAAGAAAAGUCAACUUGUGAGAAGUAGAAGACUUUAGAGAAAAGCCAAUUGGAAUUGGAAUGAUAUUAUGAUGAGAAGAAUCUGAAUGGAGAUACACUCAUUCUAAACCAUAUUAUAUACAAAGCCCAAUCCAAAUAAAAUAGCAUAAAACUGAUACAAAUUGAGUUUUGACUUUGGGUAAUGACAACUACUGUUAUAAGUCAGAAGGCCCAAAAUAUUGUCGAAGCGUGUUUGAUUGUACGGUGAGGAGAAUUAAUUUUGAUAAAAUUGAUUAUAUAGAAUUGAUUUUGAUUAAAAGUGAUUUGUGUUUGGAUAUUUUUAUGUAAAAGUGAGUUUUGCUAUUAACAUGUGUGUGAAAAUCAAUUCUAAAAUCAAAAGCUAUAAAUAUUGUAGAAUCAAUUCUGGAGGUAGAAUCAAUUUUAGCGACAUGAGUCAAACAUGUCAGCAUCAAUUUUAUACCUCUCCCUUCAAAAAAAAAAAAAAUUUAUACCUCUAAAAUCAAUUAUGAUUUCUCUAGAUGUUGAACCAAAUAUACACUAAAAAAAAAAAUUGGAAGAGGAGAAAAGUAAUAGACGGAGCAAACAAGUGCCAAGUGGUAUAGAUGGCCCUUAAACUUGUUGAAGGGACAUCCUAUUCAAAACCAACUAACUUAUUGUACCGAUGGAAAUAGUUUAGUUUAGGACAGGUUAAAAAAAAACAGUUUUGUUUUAAAAAAAAAAAAUUUGAAAACAGUUUGUUUUAAUUUUAAUAUUACUUUAAUUAUGACACUAAGGUAUAUGUAUGAUGAUUUUCGUCUUUGAAUUUUGUCGACAAAGAAAUAUUAAGUCAUUGAUUUUGAAAUUGUUAUUGUGUUUACUUUGUUAUUGUUGUGUUUCUAUUUUCUUCAUGUCCUCAAGUGCUUUGAAUUUUUUAUGGACAGACGGUUAUACAUAAUCCAUUAGAUAUUAAAAUUCUUUGGACGAGUUGUUUGUCUGCAGGUUCCUAACGUGAGAUUUAUUUUUUUUGACAAACCUAAUGUGAGAUUAAUUAAGUUCUUUUUUUAACAUAUAAAAAAUAUAUUAGCCUAAAAUGACCAGUAGAGCUGCCAAUUAUAGAAGGAAGAACAAUUCAAUUUAGUUUUUUUAGAAUAAAUCAAUUUUAUGUCGUUAAAUAUCAAACUUUAUCAUGCCACGAUAUGAUUUUAUAUAGAGUGUACUUAUCCUUUUAUAUAGAGUGUACUUAUCCUUUUAUUUAUAUAACAUAAAGUCUAAUUAGUGUAUAGGGAGGUAGCAUACCUAGUUCUUCGUUUUUAUAGAUGGUGUCUGUGUUCGUUGGAGUGCUUGAAAUUGCUCUAAAAAUUAUUUGUAUUGUAAUGAGUUUGAGUAUCCUUGUACUCUCUGUCAAUAUAUUGUUUAUCUAAAACAAGAAUCAUUCUAUGUAAAUGGACUUAGACAUCUUAAAUGGUCGGACUUAAUUUUUACUCUUGACUAUAGGGCUGGAAAUGAGUCGAGUCGAACUGAACCUGUCUGAGCUCGACUCGACUCGAUAAGAAUUUGCUCGGCUUGAAACUCGACUCGAGUUCGACACGAACUCUUUUUUCAGCUCGAAUUCGACUCGUUUAAAGUUCACGAACAGUUCGGUUCGACUCGUUAGGUUCAAUUUGUUGCUUGAGUAAUAUAAUUCAAAAGUUUUUUUUUUUUUUUUCAAAAAUUUAUAUUUUGACCUCUUAAUUUAUUUAAAAAAAGUAUACUAAAAUUGAACUAAAACAAAAAACUAUAGACCAUGUUUGUCUCAAGACUACUAAGUAAAAAAGUAGUAGUAACAACUGCACUGCAAUCCAUAUAGAUUCUCAAAUGCACUUCUCUUUUAUAACUACUCUUAUGCUAUGUUGUUACUAAACUCCCCGAUAUGGGACAAAGUUUAGCACAAGUGUGUUAUUUGCUUCUUAUUGUUUCUUUUGUUCUUUUUUUUGGGUGAUAUUCUUUCUCUCUUUUAUUAAAUUGUUGAUUAAAUUAGAAAUAAUUCUUCCUCCUCUCUUUGAUAAAAAAAAAAUAAUUCCUCUAAAAACAAGUACAUAAAUAUCAUAGAAAGUUUGUAAUAAAUUACAUGUGUUGUAUUUUAAUAUUAGUGCCUGUACUUUAUAAAUUUUUACUAAACUUAUAUAUAUAUAUAUAUAAUAUUAUCGAGCCAACUCAUGAACCAACCGAGUCGAACUAUAUAAAGUUCAAGUUCAGCUCAUUUGUUUAACGGAUUUAAUUUUCAGCUUGUUUGGUUCAUGAACCAAAUUCAACGAGUUAAUUGUCGAAUCAAGUCCUAAACUAUUGUCGAGUUGGUUCGGUUCAUUGCCAGCCCUACUUGACUAUGAAAAAAAUAUUGUUAAUUUAGGAUAGCCAAUUUCAUAUAUCUAUCAAGUUUGUCAAAUUAUAUUAGCCAAUAAUAAAUGAUGGUGGAUAUUAUAAUUAGUCAAAGAGUUAAAGAGGGCCAUGUAGAAAAUAGGAACGUGGACUCUUAUAAAUAAGAGAAACUCAAAAAAAUGAGGUAUGAAAUGUGUGAUGUAACUUCUUUUUCUCUCUUUGAUUCCAGUCUCUCUGUUCUAUUCUUCUUAUUUGAUUCCAGUCUCUCUGUUCUAUUCUUCUUAUUGCUACUACAUCUUCUUAUUUACCUAUUGUGUUCUAUCAAAAACGAUUAUACUCCCUCCGUCCCUAUAUAUAAGACCCUUUUAUCAAAAUCACGGGAAUUAAGAUAGUGGAUAUUUGUAUUAAAGUUGUUUGUAAUCACUAUUGUUUUUACAAUUUUAUCCUUUAAGAAAGAAGGUUAGUUUAUGUUUUCAACAUGUUAUUUAUUGUUGAUUGAAGAAAAAGAUGUAUAAUAAAUAGGGGCAUGUAUGUAAAGAAAUAAUUAAUGUAGUUGGAAGUAACAAAGGGGUCUUAUAAAAAGGGACAAAAGAAAUUCUCAAAAGGGUCUUAUAAUUAGGGACGGAGGAAGUAAUUACCAAAUUAUAAUGCUUCUUUGGAUGAAUCAAUAGGAUAUUGUUUGCAUUUCCAUUCCAAUUGAGGAGAACCAUUACAGAUAUUCAAACCUAUAAUAUGAUUAUAAAAAAUAUUUAUCAAUAAUUAAUUUGGUAGCUAAUUUCAUCUGAUGGUUUAAUUUUAAUCAACUAGUUUCUUAGUUAUAAAUAAAUUGUCAUUACUUUUCAACUAUAUAUACAAACUAUAUAAUAAAAAAAAAAGGUGUAUAUAAACUAAUAAGUUUCUCUCAAAAAAAACAAAAAACUAAUAAGUUGAUUCAACCCUGUAUAAUUUUCAAAAACAUUAUUUACUCAUACUUGAUCUUAUAUAACUCAGAUAUUUAUGGAAAAGAAAUAUUUUUAAAUAAAAUUUGGAGUUCAUCCAAAUACAAGUACAAUAGUCAAUCAAUAUCAAUAACUCCUUAUAUAAUUGGAUUAUUAUAUUAUUCUUCCCUUCCCAUUUGAGCCUAUGGUGUUCUCUUUGUUUUGUCCAUUAUGUCUCGGAAAGGGCAAGCAGACAAAGGUGUGUGUGUGUAUACGUAGACGUCAGCCAUAGCCGUACAGUUACAGAAAAGGCAACGGAAAGGGGUUAGGAGGAUCCCAUAUUCUGUUGUUAUUUGCUACGUUUCCUUCAUUUCCUAUAAUAUUAUGGUGAAGUCUAACAUGAGGGAGCCAAUAGGUCCCUCAUGACAUGUGGGAGCAAAAGAUGCUUUUUUUUUACCUUAGGAUUAAAACAAUGAAUUGAUCUACUCCACCUCAGCAAGAGAGCACAUGCACCUCUCCACACUCAAUCAAAAUAGACCACACACUUUCUCUAUAUGAUUUUCUCUCACCUCUAUCACUUGCUUAUCUUGUCUUCUAUUUCUCUCUCUUAAGUUUCUUCCUCAUUUUACAACCCAGCAAUCAUAUGCACACACAGACUGUUAUCUCGCCCUCAUUCUCACCUCCUUUCCUCAAGAUACUUCACUGUUGCAAUUUAGGCAUGGGAAGCAUUAAACUGGGAACAUACAUACAUUCCUUUGGUUGCUGCAAAAGAAUAAUGUAUCACAUCUAAGCGAAUAAUUAUGUAUGAAAAUAACUAUUUAAGUACAACAAUUACCAAAGCAGCUAGGCUGACAUUUCUGCACGCUCCACAUACAAUCCGAGGUUUCUGGAAAAGUGUUAUUUUUAAAGAACCCUAAAAAAUAAAACAUGUGAUUAGCUUGUGGAUUUGAAAAAUAAGCUUGUGCUUUCUUCGUGCCAUUCAAUUCCGAUCAAAACUCCAUAAAAAUCGUUGAAUUUCAUUGUGUACCGAGGGAGAUAUGACCGGGUCGAUUAACGGGUCAAAAAACCCGUUUGAGUGUCUACGGGCGAAGAAGAUGAGAUUAAAAAAAGAUAAAAAAAAAAACAAAAAUUUGCCUUGGCAGGAGUUGAACCGACGCCAUACAACACAUAAAUCCCUAAACACUACCAACUGUACUGUGAUUACAAUUGCUAAUUUUAUAGAUUUUUAGUUUAUUUAUUUACUGUUACUUGUUUUGAAUUAGAUUUCUUUAUCAAGCAAAUCUUAUAUAGAUACAAGUCUAAAUAAAAUUUAUAUGAACACACAUACAUCAAUAAUAAAAUUUAAAAAUGAGACGAUAUUAAGUGAUGUGACUAAACUAUUAUUUUUUUUAAAAAUUUAUCAUCGCUGUGUGUGUCCGGAUUUGAUUAUAUAAAGCAAAUCUUACAUGAAUUGGGAGGGAUAUGAAACAUCAAUGAUAAAAUUUAAAUAGGAGACUAUAUUAAGUGAUGUAAUCGAAUUAUCAUUUUUUUAAAAUUUUAUCAUUGUUGUGUGUGUCCGGAUUUGAUUAUAUAAAGCAAAUCUUACAUGAAUUGGGAGGAUAUGAAAUUUGAUUAUUUUAGCAUUAGAGGGAAAGUGAAAUUGAGUAAUAUGAUUCUGCUAAAAAAAUAAUUAAAGUGAAAUUAAGUUUUUUUAGUUAAUAUUCAAUUCAUUACAUUUAUUCAAAAAAUAAAUGAAAAUUCCUUAGGAAGUCUAGUCAACUAGGAAGGACAACUCCCCGGUGACUGAAACGUUUCUAACAUUUGAACGGAAGCAUGUUUAGUCGAUCCCACCGUUGGAUGUGACCUUCACAAAGUUAGAAGGAAGCAGAAACUGAGAUUUCUCAUAUCAGAAUCUCGAACACGUGUCUACCGGACAAACUAUCUCUUCAGAAGCCUAGUAAACUAGGAAGGACAACUCCCCGGUGACUGAAACGUUUCUAACAUUUGAACGGAAGCAUGUUUAGUCGAUCCCACCGUUGGAUGUGAUCUUCACAAAGUUAUAAAGAAGCAGAAACUGGAAUUUCUCAGAUCGGAAUCUCGGAGACGUGUCUACCGAACAAACUAUCCCUUCAGAAGCAUAGUCAACUAGGAAGGACACCUCCCCGAUGACCGAAACUCGUCUAACUCUAGAACCAGAGCAUGUUUAUUCGAUCCCACCGUUGGAUGUGACCCUCACAAAGUUAGAAGGAAGCAGAAACUGGAAUUUCAUAUCCCUCUCAAUUCAUGUAAGAUUUGCUUUAUAUAAUCAAAUCCUGACACACACAACAGUGAUAAAAUUAAAAAAUAUAAUAAUAAUUUAGUCACCUAAAUUUUAAUGUACGUGUGUUCAUAUAAAUUUUAUUUAGACUUGUAUCUAUCUAAGAUUUGCUUUAUAUAGAAACCUAAAAUAAAAUGAAUUAAACAAUUCAAAACUGGUAAUAGUAAAUAAAUAGACUAAAAAUCUAAAAUAUUAAUAAUUGUAAGUGCAGUGCAAUUGGUUGUGUUUUGGAUUUAAGGGUCAUAGGGUGCCUGUUCGAUUUCUGCAAAGGGAUUUUUUUUUUUAUAAUUUUUUUUAAUGUCAUCUUCUUUAGGUAGUAUACUGUAAAACGGGUUUUUUGACCCGCGAAUCGACCCGGCUGGAUCUCCCAUUGUACACAAUCAAAUUCAACGAUUUUUAUGCACUUUUGAUCGGAAUUGAAUGGCAUGAAGAAUGCACAGGCUUGUUUUUCAAAUCCACAAACUAAUCGCAUAUUUUUGUUUUUUGUUCUAAAAAAAAAACGCCUUUGAAUCAUUCUAUAUCACCGAAUUGACAACUUUUCGCUGUAACAUCGAAUAGUUUCGAUUCAGCAACCAUGAAACCCAUAUCAAUUUGAGAACUAAUUUUCUUCAGAAAGAGGAUAAGAUAAAGAUGCAAGUGAUAUGAGUUUUUGCCAUUUUUGCUAUAACUCUUUCUGAAAGAUGCAAGUGAUAAUUUUUUUUGCUAUAACUCAUGUAUCUAUGUAAACUAGUUAGUUUGAUUUUUGCCAUUUUUUUCAAUUCACAUAAAUUGCAACAGUGAAGUAUCUUGAGGAAAGGAGGUGAGAACGAGGGCAAGAGAACAGUCUCUGUAUUCAUAUGAUUUAUGGGUUGUAAAAUGGGAAAGAAACUUAAAGAGAGAAAUAGCAAAGAAGAUAAGCAAGUGAUAGAGGGGAGAGAAAAUCAUAUGCAGAAAAUGUGUGGUCUAUUUUGAUUGAGUGUGGAGAAGUACAUGUGUUCUCUUGUUGAGGUGGAGCAGAUCCAAUCCAUUUAUUUAAUCCUAAGGUAAAAAAAAAAGCAUCUUUACUUCCUCAUGACAUGAGGGACCUAUUGACUCCCUCAUGUUAGACUUCACCUAAUAUUAUAGCCCUUUUACAAUUUGGUUCAUCGUGUAACAAAAAUAAUACAAAAAGAAGUCCCAAUCAAUCAUACUAUAAUAUAACUAAGCCAAUUUUCAAUCUAAAUGAAACCAAGGUUCAUAGUUACACUACACAUUUGAAAAAACCCAUGAAUGUUAAAAUAAGAAACGUAUGAAGAUCAUUUAUUUGUUUUUUUUGAAAGAAAAUAUCAUUUAUUUGUUAAAUCCCUUAAGAAAAAAAGAUCAAUCCAAAUGUUUUGUCUUUAUGACGGGAAGAGUAAAGGAACAAAAUGGGGUAUUGUUGAUUUGACAUUCUGUAUUUUGGUUGAUUAGGAAAGUAAGUAAUGAAAAGAUUUUUGAAUCUAAAUCAUCAAGUGUAGGUAGAUGAAGUGGUAAAUUACUUUAUCUUGGCAAUGGUUGUUAGGGAAGAAAAGAGGGUCUUAUUAUUUGUAUUAUGAGUAGUAUCUUCACCCUCUUGAUUGUAUUUUGAGAUAGGUGUUAAAAGAAUAAUUUUUAGAUGGACAUAAGAAUUUGGACCCUCUAUUCGGUCACACACACACAAAAAUGGACAUGCUAUAAUCAUUUAAAAAUUAAUGAUUAUUUAAUUGUUAUUUUUUCUACUUUUUUCUUUUUAUAUUUGUGUGAUCAAAUAGAGGAUCCAAAUCUUUAUGUUCAUCCAAAAGUUUCUCGAUGUUAAAUUGAUUUGGGGUUGGCUUUGACUAUUAUUUUUUUUUUGUAAGAGUUUGGAGCGACUCGAGUACUACUUAUAUUGUAUCUUAUUGAUGGAUUUAAUACCAUUUGUACUAGUUGUCGUUUUAUCAAUAAAAAUCAUUAGUUUUAUGUUAAAAAAGAAGGAAAUUUUUUUUAUCUUAUUUGUUAGUGGUUAUUCUAUGAAAUUAAGUUGAAAUAACAUAAUUAAAGAGAAAAAAUGUGAGCUAUUCAGCAGCAUAAGUUACCUGUUAGAGUUAUCAACCACUUAAAUAUUUAAAUUUUAGUACAAAAGAAUAAACUUUUUUAUUUUAUUUAAGGAAGUACAAAGAAUAAACUUGUCAUUUUUUAUUUUUAGUUAAUUUUUUCUACCCAUUCAACUAAGUGAAGAGAAGUUUUAGUUUUUCUUUAUUUUCUAUAUAUAUUUUUCUUUUGGGUGAUAACGAUGGUAAAAUGUUGAGACUGGACUAAGUUAAAUUAGUUUGGUUCAUGGGUUUAUUAGAUUUUCGAAAUUGAAAACCAAAAAUCAAACAAGCGUGGUUUGGUUUCUUUCUAUUCGAUUUGGUUUUUUAUCGAGUCAAAAAAGGUCGGGUAAUUUUUCAGUUUUGUUUAGUUUUUUUGGAUUAAUCGAUUUUGUUUGAACCGUUUACACUCAUAUAAAUGAGUCUCGCUAAUAACUUUAUAUAAUCUAUUAAUAACGUUGGAGAGAGAGAGUUUAUAAAAUGACUUUUAUUUAUCAAAUCUACUUUUGUUUUCUCUCGGGUGUUGGUACCGGAUUUCAAAAAUCUACUUUUGUUUUCUCCUGGGUGUUGUUACUAGGUUAUAAAAUUACUCUCAUUUUUUCACCUCAUAACAAAAGAAAAACUCAUUUUGGAUUUUAAAAUCCAAAAAUCUUAAGGACAUUUUUAGAAGGAAAAAAAAAAGGACGUACAGGUAGUAGGGUGGAAAAAGUAAUAGUCUUCAUAAAAUUUGCUAAUUGUAUUAACAAAAAGGCCUAAGCCCAUAUAUUAAUCUAAGUUGUUAAACAAAAAGGCCUCAGGUGCUUCCAAAAAACAUCAAGAAUAAUUUUGGAAAAUAUUUACAAUAUACCCUUACAUUUAUACUCUCACCCCUACAUUUCUAUAAACUACUCAUUUUACCCUCGCAUGUAAAUUAAAACCCUCCAGUGUUUUCCAUUUGUUCCACAAGUUUUUUGAGAGAUUUCCUGUUUCAAAGAGGGAAAGAGAGAAUAAAUUCGGAAACACAUACCAGGAAAUAUGUUUCUAGUUUUCCUGUUUGUUUUGUUUCCCAAAACCCAGUUUUAAACAUUUUGGUUUUGCUUAUGGGUUUUUUUUUUCCUUCUUUGGAAAAAUAUUUAGAUACAUUACUGGUUUAUGUUUGGUUCUCAAAUAACUUGAUUAAUGUUUUACAAUAUACCUGGAAAAUAUAAAGAAAAUUUUCCAAUUUUGUUUAUUUUUUGUUUCAUAUUUAAAUCCAUGUUCAGGUCCAACAACCAUUUGAUGAAUCGGCAAUGCCACCGUCGAUUCCAUUUACGACCAACGAGAGAGCUUCGUAACAACAAAUUUUUCGGCGUCAUCUUAGUUUGGGUGGAUAAAGGCUCCAUACCGUUGCAGUUCAUUUGCAGCAAGUUCCAACAGUAGUAAUAGAAAAUAUAACAAACCCAUUUGCAAUUCCAUCAUAUUAUUACUUGGGUGAUGGCUGAAGAAAAAAUGCAAGAAAAGAACAAAUCAAAGAAAGGAAAAGAAUCAUAAAUAAUUAUCUCAUUUCAUUUCAUGGGUUAUUGAAUAGAAACUAUCAUAUUUGUUUGAAAAAUAAUUUUUAUAUUUUUCGAAAUCUUAGAAGGAGUCACUAAAUAAUCUUAGAAAGCGUCAUUGAAGAAUAUAGUAUUAAUCGUUAUAGCAUAUUGGAAGGGGCCAUCAAAAGUAAAUUUGUUGAUAAAACAAACAUAAACCGAAAAAAGAAUAUUUUCAAAAUGUUUAAAGAUGUCCAUAUUUUCAAGUUACAACUACACUGUAAUGUUUUAAGAUACACAAAAAUGUUAGAGCUAACACAUAAUUGUGUGUUGACGACAUUGUAGUAUAGUUGUAACUUGUAAGCCUGGUGUGGUUUAACUCUACAUCAUUUUACAUUGUUCACUUCUUUGUGUUUGUCUCAUACCAUCAUACUUCACAUUUUCUGUUUUUUCCCUUGUUUCUUUCACAACCAUAUAUAAAGGGUGAAAGAAAUCUCUAAUACACUAAAACAAUGAAAAAAAUGUAACCUUGAGUUCGAUGUAAUUCUUUAAAAAUGUAUCAAAAAUUCCAUUCCUCUCUUCUAUCUAUGUCACCAUUCGUGACUAAGUAUAUUUUCCACAAGAUAAAACAAAGUAUAUUUAAUAAUAUCCAUAAUUAACAUUCUACGUUAGUUAGAUACAAAGACAAACCUAUCGAGAACAAGACAAAUGCCGGCAAAAUUCUUACAGACAGAGUCAUACUGAUAUCUUCAAUGUUAUCAACCUUCUAUGUUUUCUACUUCUACCAUUCUUACAUUUUAAUAACACAAAACUCAUCCCUUUUAUCCACCUCAUAGAGAAAUCAGCAAUAGUGUAUCUCUCAUCAAUGGAGCGAAGGUUAGGAAGAGAGAACAAAGGGUCACUAAACCUACAAAAAAAGAUGGCAGAGACACUACGUAGGGAAGAACCACCACCUGACCUAACAGAUUUCAUGAAUGACAUGUUUUUUGGGACAGUAGACACUCACCAGAAAACCUAUGACCUCACUGGUGGGGUUGGUAUGAACAUGGAUGAUGAUGAGGAAGAUGAUGGUUUCGAUGAUAGUACUAGAAGUAACAGUGCAAGGUUAACACAAGAAUGGUUGCAAGAAGCAAGACUCGUCGUUGCUUCUUCUCCUUCACGUUGUGAAUCUCCCGGACGGCUAUUAGGUUCACCUCGCUUUGCAUCCCCGUCGAAGUCUUCCCUUCCAUCUUCUGAUCGAACAGAUGCUCUUUCUAGGACUAGGUCCGCCAGAAGGUAACAUUUUAAUUUAUUUCAUACUACUACUACAUAAGGAACAUAAACUUCAUCAAAACAUAAGAAAAUAAAAUUUAAUUAUUAGUAAAUGUUUAGUUUCAUGCAUAAAGAAUCUGGUCGAAAUACAUAUUAGAAUCUAGAUAUUAACCUCUAAUAUCAUUAUUUUGCGAAUGUAAGGGUCUUUUUACUAGUUAAAAUUAGAAAUCAGCUUAAUUGUUCAUGUCAAUAUUUCAGUGCACAAUUAACUUUUUGUAACCAAGAUCAAAGUGAAAAACCCUUAAACAAGUUUCAUUGUAUAAUCUGAUGCAGAUACAGAACAGCAGAAGGAAUCAGUGAUGAGAUACUAUCAAAAACAGCAAAACACACCCGCAACAAAUCAGACACAUUUGCACAACCUUCAUCAGAUGGGGAUGGAUCUCCUGCAACUGCAGUACACAAAUGGUUUUCCAACAUCCUCAAACCCAACAAUAACAAUAACAAUAACAAUAACAAUAGCCCAAGUAACACGCCACCACCUUCUCCAGAUUCUCUCCCUCCGCGUCAGCCACAUCCUCGAAAAUCCCGCUUCCAAUCUUCACCCUCUCCUGCACCUCAGCCACAGGGAAUCCAAGCUCCUAAUUAUAACUCCAGAAGAACUUUCAAGCCUUCUGCACUGUCUGAACCGUUGCCGGAGAAUACAAGCCGGCGAACACCACAUAGUGAGGAUUCUUUACCUCUGUCACCACCGAGGAACCUCGUGGAAUCUGCUCACCGGAGAACGAUAUCUUCUUCCACGUGUUCGUGGGAGAAGAUAGCUCCGGUGAAGAAUUUUGUGAAGGAAGAAGAAGAAACUACGGAGGAGUAUAGUCUUAAUGGGUUUUUGAAAGAGCAGAGGAAUUUGUUUCAGAGAUUCUCGAAGGGAGAGCUUCAUACAAAUGUCGAAAUCAAAAUUGUGCUUUCUGGGCAUUUAAACAGUUAGUGAAAAACUUGAAUGCAUGUUUUCUAUCAUGCUAAAUUUGUCGGAAUCACUGUGAGCAUUAUAAUUUUCAAAAGCUACGGUAGCUCACUGUGAUUUUGAUAAACUCACGUGAGACCAAACAUGGACUGAAUUUGUUUUGUUGAUUUGAUUUUGGGAGUGUUGGAAAGUGUGGAAUUUAUUUGUAUGUGGUGCAGGUACGGCGUCGAUGGUGGCUGCUAUUUGCCAUGCAUGGCUAUUGGGUUAUAGACAGAAAGAGAAUGAUGGUGGUGGAAAAGAGAGGACAGUGGUGGUGCCUGUGAUGAAUGUGAAGAGAAGUGAUAUGUGUAAGCUUAAGCAAGCUGCAUGGUUGUUUCAUCAUGCUGGUCUUGAUGCUACUUCAUUGCUCUUCACUGAUGAGGUCACAUUUCUUCUAUUCUUUUCCUUUUUAUAGUCAAAUGUUAGUUUUUAGAGUAAAGUUUUAAUUUGUUCUAUAAAUAAAAUUUGGCGGACCAAUUUAGUCUCCGAGAAGAAAUAAUACCAAACUAGUCAUUGACAUUUUCAAAUUGAAGAUAAAUAAGUCCUCUUGUAUAAUGAGUUCAGGACUAAUUUAUCCCCAGUUUGAAAAUAUCAAGGACUACUUUAAUGUUUUUUUAAGUAAUGGAUUAAACUAGGCCGUGAUAAAAUUGUGAGAGACUAAAUUGUGUCUUUACUCUAGUUUUUUUGACACACAAUGACACAUAAACAUUAGUAAUCAAUUUAAGAAAAUAGCAGUAAUUGAAUGUAAUCACAUGUGUUGUUGUACACCAAUUCCGUCGGACACGAACAUAUUUUCAAUCUGAAGUGGACCAUAUAGGAUUUUAGUAUGUUAUGUUAAUAGUCGGAAUUUGAAUCAUAUAUCUCUUUAUCGAACUAUUUCAAACUUCUUAGUUCAUCUCCUUGAGCUUUGCCUUGAUGACUUUUUUUGUGUCCAUUUGUUAUUGCCUUCAAACAUGGUUUUGUAAUUUGUUGGAAUAAAAACAGAAAUUAUUAACUCAUGAUCACUUGAAAAAAAUUUAUGGACAUUGUAAAUAAUUUAGCAGGCUUAUACUUAGUUUGCUGAUAUAGUGUUGAAGAUUGCUUUACAGGUGGACAUGGAAAGCCUUUUGGUGACUGGUAAACUGAGCGUCCUCAUGGUUGGACAAGACGUCUUAAGCGCGACUAACGAGGUUGGUUCAAAUGAAUAAUUGAUGAAUGUGAACAUUGGUUUUAAAAAUAAGUUUGAUGCCAAGGCAAUGUGCUACGUGCAUUAUGAUUAAUUUUAUUGCCCAAUUUAUUCUCAGGUUGGAUCUCAAUGCACCGUUCUCACAGAUAAUUACUGUGAGGAUGCAUAUGAUCUACUUCAGAACUCUGUGCUGAAGAAACUAUUGGUAAAUUCAUCGCAUUCUUAGAUAAUUUCUCGAUAAGUACUUUUGGUAUAAUUCUUAGGAUAUUACUCUAUGCUUAUAUGUUAUUUUUCAGCUUGCUGGUAUUCUGCUAGAUACACAGAAUCUAAAAGCUUCGGCUGCAGUAUCGAUGACAAGAGAUGCAGAGGCAGUCCAGCUGCUUUUGGUUGGCUUAGCCCCAAACUACAGAUAUGCUUUAUUUGAUCAGUGUAAGAUUUAUGUUUCCCCACACAUUGAAAUUGAGAAGUUAUUGAUAAUAUUCAAGUUCAAUGUAUUAACUUGUUGUGUUUCUUGAAGUGAUGCAAGACCAACAAUCUUCUUCUUUUGUCGAAGCUUUGAACCAUAACUAUUGGAAGAUCCCUGAUGAAAGUAAGUAUCUAUGCCUAUAAUCUAUGCCAAUUUCUCCAUAUACAUGUUGCGACAUAAUCCAGUUCAUGCUAAGUAUAGAAUAACAAGUGUCUAUUCGGUUUGUGACGGUUAGUGAAGUCUGUCACUUCUGUUAUAAAUACUCGAUGAAAUCAUUUCCAAUUACAACAAUUAGUGUGAGUGGUUUCAUUAUACUUGGAGAUAACUCCAAUCUCUAGCAAUGCAUACUAUUAGCUACUUUUAUAAAUUGCAAAGGAAAAUGAUAAAAGGCACGACAAAAUUUUCGUGCCUAAUUGCACGAAUUAUUCCUCUCAGUAAUUAAUCUUGUCAAACAGUAAUGCUUUGGCAUUUGGCACUUGAUCUCAUGAUGAUUUAUGUUUAACUAAGCAGAUUCACCAAAUAAAACAUGAAUUCGGAGCAUCUUAAGGGUUGUAAUGCUUUUAUCGGUGCAACAUUGACAGGGAAGAUGAUGGUGCUACUACCGACAACAAUUUUAUAUUAUCUUAGUUUAUUAUAUUAUAUUUUAUAUAUCUUAGUUCAUCUUUAUCUUAUAAAUCCAUAAACCAACUAGAAGAAGGUCAUUCACCAAACAAAGUGUGUGUUUUGAGCAUGUCGUGCAUGAGUCGCGCAUUAAAUCUCUCGUACCAUAUAGCAACGUUCAAUUGCAAAAAUGCAAGAACCAUGACCUUGUCUUCAACCACGUUCCUUUAAAUCUUUUCUGGUGAAGUUGUUACUGAAAUUGCAAAAGGAAACUUUUUCUGAUAAGCUCUGUGUCCUAAAAUCUCUUGUGAUCCUAUACAUUUUUGUGUGUUCUGAUAGGCUGAGUGGAUUAAGGCGAGACUCUUUCAUUUGAAGGAAUUUAUAUGGAAAGUAUAAAAAGGUGGAUGUGUUCUUAUUAAUCUUUAAGAACCCUCCGCUGAUUAAAUUUCUUCGUGGAUAACUAUUUCGAGAAGUCAGUCCCCUCAAAGGUAGAUUAGUCUAUUAGAUGGGAAACUCAUUUUCUAAUAAGCCUCACUUUUUAGGAGUCUCCCCAAUGUUGAACUCCUAACAAUGUUUUUUUCUUCCUGAUUAGCGAACUCCUAACAAUGUACUACUCUACGAGAGCUGAUUUCCUUAGGGGCUUUCAUUCCGCGACACUUCACUCAACAUUAUCCGCUCAAAAUCCUUCAUGAGUAGCCAUUUUUGAGAAGUCAAUCUUCUUAACGAAAACAUCAAAUGUUACAAGCAUAAGCUUAAACAAAGAAUCAAAUCCAAAAGACUAAUCUAUUAGAUAGAAUGACUCAAUACUCAUUGCACAUUGGCUUAUAAGCCUCCUUUUUUAUGUGAGACUGUCCAACGUUGAACUCCUAACAACCUCCUAGUUUUCAAUUGGGAAAACAUUAAAUCGAACACAGCAUUUCAUUACCAAGGAUUUGUAACUUUAUUUUGUUAAAGGAACCAAAGGUAAAUGCAUCAAGAACACUACAGAAUGUUACUCUAUAUUAUCAAGAAAACAAUUUUAUGUAGAAUUGAACAUUAUGACAUGGUCACAAUUUCUUUCCUUUAUUCUUUGUACUCGCAGGUGACCAAAAUAGUGAAGGAAAUAUGGAGCAUAAAGUUCGCGACAGAAAGUCAAGCUCUACAUCUGACCGAGAAACUACCAAUGCAAGUUCAAAAACAAAUUCCACGGACGCAAAAGGUAUGUUUUGAACUUAUGAUUUGGUUAAUAGGUUCCAUUUAAAAUAUUCUUUGUAAGUCUUUGUUACCUUGUUUUGCAAUUAUAAAUGUGGUAACACAACACUUAUCCUUGCAGUAAAACUUGCUACGCCAAUUUUGCAAUCUCCUAGUCCAGGAGUAUCAUCAAAUGCAGAAAAGGAAGCCUCUCGUGGGAAAAACAAGUUCUUCUUGGCAAGGUGGUUUGGAUUUGGUUCAAAAUGACAACUUAUUUUUGCAAAAUUCAAAGAAAAAAAUAAUAACAAUUCAUACCAGAACCCGUUUGAAAUGUCGCUUCUUUCCCGUUGAUGAUUGUUCUUGAAGAUAUACGAGUCUCAAUAGGAUUUGGAUUCCACGCAAUAACUGUGUUACGCAAUGAGUCUCAAUAGGAUUUGGACUCUACACAAUAACAAUGUGACGCAGUUAUUGAUUUUGACCGCCCGAUACCGAUUGUAUAUGUAAGUUUACAUGGCCAUUGUCACUUUUCUGGUUAAUUAUUAAAUUAAAUUAUUAUUAUGAUAUUGGUGAUGAAGAAUGCAUAUGGGCCUACCAACUAUUUUUCUUUGAGAAAUCAGCCUCUGUCGCAUUUUUCUGGAUCUUUCAAGCUGCCUCAUUAAUAUUGUUUUUGACGUUGAUGUAGAUCAAUUAUCUCCCUAUGCUCAAAAUUGCUUCAACUGCUACAAAAAAAAAAAAAAAAGAUAAAUUUUGUUGUUUAUGUCUUACUUAUUUCUUAUGAGUUUGACCUCCCAUCUACAAAAUCUGAUAUUAUUAAUUAUGUGCGGCAAAUGCUGCUGUCACUCUAAUGUACAGUUUAUGGUUGGUGCAUGCAUCGUUUUGUAUCUAAAAAAAUUCACUUUUGCAUGUAGCAUUCAAUUGUACAGCAUGAAAUGUUAGAAGAUAAGAAUAUUGUUUUUAAGCUGGCCUAUCACAUGAACUGAAUACUAUAACCUUGGACCAAAAACAGUGUCAUAUAUUUGGGCUUAACUAACUGGUGUCCAUCUAAUGCGCAUUUUUUUUUUUUAUCAAGUGACAAGUAGUUUAGUGGCUAGAAAUUUAACUUUUAAAAUAAAUAAGUGGGAAGUCCGGAGUUCGAACCUCGAUUCCUACAUAUAUAAUGCAAUGCUCUUACUAAUUGAGUUAAGUUCACGGUGUUCAUCUAAUGGAUCCACUCUAUCAAAACUCAAAAAAGGAGUUUCUUUUCUAGUAUUUGUUCAAUCUGAAAUAUACUCCCAGAUACUAGUGUGAUUUUUUAAAUAUUAAGGGAAGCUCCCGCGAAAAUGAUUUCCCCUACUAGCUAGUUGGUGGAAUUUAGAUUGUGAGUAUAUUGGUGACCGUUGAAUCGAAAUUUGACGGUUUAGAUUUCAUGUUCCGUAUUUUGAUUUUAAAAAUUUUGCAUUGAAAUAUAAACUAUCUGAUUUUUGAUUCAAUGACCAUAAAUAUGUUGACCUCAUCAACGAGGGGACCGUCAAGAGAAGGCAAUCCGGAUUCUAGUUGGUGAGGCUUAACAAAAAAUUUCAUACCUAAUGUAUUUUAGAUAAUUAAAUUUGGAUCGGUUCGAUUAGAUAACUUAAAAAAAUGAAAUUUACUUAUUUUAAAAUUUAGUUUGUUAAAAUUUUCAAUCGAAAAUAGGUUUCACGUAAAUCAACUCUUUUUUUCCUUGACCAGAUUAAAAUAUUGUUGUCAGUCCAUCUUAUGGAUUUGGUAGUAUUUUUAUUUAUAUAUCUCUAAAACUAUAUUAUUUUCUUAAUUUUUUGGACAAAGUUCAAGUGUGGAUGAAAUGUGAGAAAUCAAUCUAAUAGUGAUGACAUGGAUGACUACAGUGAUUCCAUGAAGUCACUGAAUGCACCCAAUCCAAGUCCCCAUGCUACCUUGGACCAUUCUUACAUUUUUUAAGUUUGGAGCAUUUUAAACUUUCUAAUGUGUCAAAAGAAGAAAAAAAAACUAUAGCUUUAAGUUUGGAGCAUUAUAAACUAUAACUUUUUAACAUUAUGGACCUAGGCAGCUAAGCAAUAAUGUUGACAACUAUAUAGAUAAUCCAACUACUAGUAGAAAGAAAUUAUUAAUAUGCAUUGAGGUGCACAUACAUGUAUUGUUGCAUUUUUAUUUCUACAUCAUCACCAAACACCAUUCCUCUCUUCCCGGGCAAUACAAUUUUCCGCCACAUGCAUCAACAUUUUACACGCAAAUACAGACAUUCACAUCACAAUAAUACUAAUCUACUGUCUAUAUUUCUGUGAUGAUUCAAAAUUUAAUUUACACUAUACCUCGGUUUGAAGAAAUUAAAGUACAUUUAUAGCUCAAUUACCAAGAUUAGAUCAACAUAGAACAUUUCCAAUUUGUGCAAAGUGUAGGUGUGGACUUAGAAUAGAUAGCUCCAUAUGGAGAAUUAUUAAGCAUGUGAUACUAUCUAUCUUGUUGUGCAAUUAUGCGUAUUUGCUCAAUACCAGCUGUAACUAACUCCCAAACCCAUUUUGGCCCCACUUGCUAUCAGUCAAUGCUUCCUCACUCACCAUUCCAUUAUUUCUCCAUCAUUUGGUGUCCCAUUUCAUUUUCCAACUUUAUUUUGCCGGCUUUGAUAGUGAGUAUUGAGUACUUCAAAUCGGGUUUGGAUCGGGUGCGGUGCGACUACAUGCAGUUACAUGCAUUUCAGUCGUUUAAUCAUUGGACGGUUUAUAUUAUAAGCCGUUCAAUCUUCAUUAGACUAUUGAAAUACAUGUGACUGCAUGCACAUGUCUUCUGACUGCAUACGAUCCUUGAAAUGACUUUUUUCAUUCAACCUUCCAAGCAUAAAGAAACAAGCAAAACUCUGAUGAACCACUUACACUAAAUCCCUCCACUGAUUCACAAUUCCUUGCUUGAAUUGAUAAUGGAGAAGAUGAAGAAGAUGAAAUAGUAGAUGACAAAAUUGGCUUAAAAAUAAACAAAGCAUGUUUCAAACCAGGACUAAAUAACCAAUCAUGAACAUCCCAAUAAACUUCAAUUCUCAUUUUACUAAGAUGAACUGAUUCAUUACCUCUAAACUUCCAUUGCAAAUGCUUCACAUGAAUCACCAAAUGUCCAUCAAUUCUUAUCUCCAUCUCUGGCUGAACUGAUCCAACAAUAACAGAAUCGCCACCACCAUUUCCUCUAUUCUUGCAUUCAAUAGAAAUCUCAUGCCAUUUACCCUUCUCAUGAAACUUAGCUCUGGUUGAGAAUUUCUUCUUACCAAAUAUAUGCUCUUUCUUUGAAACCAAUAUAGGAUCAAUAAGAGCUGGUCUACAACCUGUUCUUCUAUAAGCAUCUUUUUUAAGAUCACCAAGAAGAAGAACAACCUCUUCAUCACAAACAACAGCUACAUAGUAUUCUGAAGUUGGUUCUGUUUCUCCGUUGAAUUUAGCAGCUUUAAGGUCCCAGAAAAUGUCAACAGCUUUGUUUCCAUCAACUAUAAACCGUUUUGAACCUUGUUUUCUCCAAAAAUACCAUGGCUUUAGUUCAACUUUGCAGGUAUAUUGGGCUUCUCCUUCUGGACCUUCUACUGAUAUUGAUAGUCCAUGAAGCAACAAGUUUUUGCACCAUGUGAUGGUUAUCAAACGGCAAUGAUCAGCUACCUUUGUUCUGUAUACUGACAUGUAUACACUCUGACCGGAACGUGUCACACCGCCUCCAUGAUCAUCGGUUAGCUUAUCUGCUGGUGAAAAGCAUGUAGGAAUACCAAUUGAGUCUUGCAUCGUCGUGAUCUUUGAUAUUGCAGAGAAUUACAAUCAAUAUAUAAUAAAAAAUAAAAAAAAAUAAAAAAUAAAAAUUGAUGGAGCGACUCAGGUUGCGAAAACAGCCUAAUUUUUUAAAAAUUAGGUAAAGAUACUGUAGAGAAUUGCGAUCAAGUGUGACUGAUAUCUUAAUCGCGGUUGAAUAUACACGGAGAUAUCAAAAACCUUGAUGUCGCGACUCUGGUUGCCAUAGAGGCUAGAGUUGAAUAGGGCAAUAUAGUAGAGAUGAGAAGUGGAAAAUGAGAGAGGAGAAUAGACUUGUUGGGAAUUUUAACAAGUACUUGUGAAGAGGGUGAGAGGGUGAGAGAUCUUAGUCACAAGGUGAAUGAAUGAUAGAUGGUGCCAGAUGUGAUUUUGGAAGCAUUAUUAAGUAAAUAAUUAAUUGGAAUUAAAAACAAUAAUUUUCCAAACUGGCAUAUGGAUGGCAGUGAGUGAGAGUGAGUGAUAGAACAAAUCUUUUUAUAAUACUACUAUGCAUUUCUUUAUCUAAUAUCACUCAUUUAGUUGAGACCUAUUUUAAUAUUUUUUUUGUUGGGGGUUAAAAUUUACCUUUUUAAGUUGAAACUUUAAUCUGUACUAACUUUUUGGAAUCCAAGGUUGCUUUAUUUAUGUAUACUAUAUUCAAAAGUGGUUACUUCCAGGCAGUUUGAUGCAGAGAAGCCAUUUUUCAUCAGAUUUGGUGUAUAGAUUUUCACAAAUUUAGGAAUCAUAUUUAUUCAUAACAUCACAUGAUAUGGUCAAAAAUAACCGGUCAAAACUGUUAGGGAAAAAAUAUCAACUGUAGUUGUGAGGGUUAGCUUUCCAAUGCUAGGUGCCAUCAUAUUUUCCUCCUUGUUUGAAAGUAUCUUGUUAAUUCAUUGCAUGUGACUUUUCAAUUAAUGAUAACUUCUAAUCGCACUUUGGUAACAUUGAAGUGUCAAUGUCAUGUGACAUUAGUCAAUCACAAUGUCACAGGUGUGUAAAAAGAUAAAAAAAUGCUUGUUAAUAAGAGAAGAAAGUCAUGAUUUUUUAUCAUUUUUCACACUUGUGACAUUGUGGUUGAUCAAUGUCAGAUGACAUUGGCACCCUAAUGUCACUAAAGUGCUACUCUAAAGAAAGUCUUAAAAUUAAAAAAAUGUGCAACGAGUUUUAUCUAGGAGGAGAAUGAUGUGACAUAAGAAUCAUAAAUUACUUUUUUUUUUUAAGGAGAACCAUAAGUUACUUAAUGAAGCUAUCCAUCCUAAACAAUAUCUUAUAUAAAUUGUGGAAUCCAUCAUAGAUUCUUAAAAGAUUGAACUAAUAGAGUACAAUUAUAAUGAAUUGCUUUAAAGUGAUGUAACAUUGUGAGCUCUACGUUAUCGACAAUGGGUAGCAACAGUUGCACUAUUUGAGGCGUUUCAAGUACCAAAUUUCGAUUUUUGUUAUCAUUUUAUAAAUUGACAGAAAUUAGAGUUGCACUAGCAAAGUGGGACGACAAAGCACUUCAGGUGAUCAAUCUUCAAGUGAAGUACUUAACUUGAAUAUAGGGUUGGUUGGAGCGUUGAAUGGCCAAGGAUAGUAAGAAUAGCCCAUUUGUAAAUUGAUACAUCAAUUCUUUAUUGUUUAUCUUACUUUUUAGGGCAAAUUCUAUUGUGCAGAAUUGAGAUGUGAUGUAAUUUAUUGAUCUAAUGGUGAAAAGGAUACUUGUGCAUGAUGCAAGAUCAUUUUACUUGUGUAUGUUAGACAAAACCUAUCUUUAAAUUAAAGUUUGCAAAUUUCUUUCAACAUUCCCUUUUUUCAUUUUUAUCUAAUAUUUAGUUUAUGAAGUUAAAUCAUAUAAUUUUUGGAAGUUUUUAUCCCACAUUUUCACUUCAAAGGAAGAUAUAUGAAUCCAUUAGUCUAUCGACUUUUGAAGUUAGCAAUGAUUACCCGUCGCCACAUCAACCGUUGAACAAACAUUUUCUGCUAUGAAUAAGUAAAGACUAGAUUGCGUAAUAAAAUGGGAGAUGAUUGCAUGAAUGAUUGUCCCGUAACUUAUAUUGAGAGAGAUAUGGCCGACAAAAUUGAUGAUGAGUUGAUUAUUCAACGAUUUCAGAACAUGACACCCCGUCGGGGACAUUUGCAAAGAAUAGAUGGAGUUUUUUUAGUACAUUGUAAAAAAAAAAUUGAUCAAGCGAGUACAUUGCAAAUUGAAUAUAAUGUAAUUUUUUUAAUAUAUAUUAUUAUAAUUAUUAUAAAUUGAAGUUUAAAAAUUUGAACCCCCUGACCCAAGAUUCUGGCAACGCCACUGGAUUUGGAUCCCUUAUAAUUGGAUCUUUUAACUUUAUGUAACUUUAAGAUUAGAGAGAAGAGAGCGUUAGAUAAAUAUGGAGUGAAAAAUAUGAGAUGAAAGAGAUAGGAAAAAAGUCGUUUAACUUUUGAAGUUAGAGAACUCUCACCCAUGAGUUGCAGAAAGCGACUCGCAAACUAUAUAGUUGCAAUUUUAAAUCUGGUAUUAUAGUUGAAUAGUUGAUUAGAAAGACAAAUUUUGACUCCAUAGAUUCGUGGUUCAAGUCUCACUAGUAUUUUUGGAGGGAGAUGAUUAUAAAUAUAUUGUAAAUGUUGUUUAAAUCUUAAAAUCUUAUGUGUCUUUGGUUGGAGCAUCAUCCUCUUGCACUAAAUUAUUUUUAUCAAAAAUUAUAAUAGUAACUGCAUUUGACCUUUGUGAUUUAAUUAGGUAAUGUAGCUACCUGAAUUGGGUGUCCACAUACUUUUGUUAAAAAAUACGUCCACAUAUAAUUGGAUAGCAUUCCAACUGUCUGAUACCAUACCUAACUAAGCUCACACUCGAUUCUCACCCAAAAGUUGAAACAAGACAUAAUCUUAUAUAAAUUCUUGUUUAGUAUUUCUCUAAAAUAACAUUAAUCAAAAGAAAUAAAGAAAAAAUAUAACGGUGUAGUUGUGUCAGGAUUGAGGGCGUCAUUGAUGGUCAACAUUUUUUCAUGUGAAUGGAAAUAAACCUCUUAAAAAUAUUACUUUUUUUUCUGAAAUCAAAAGCUUGAAAAUCUUUUUUAUUAUGAAUUGAUGAAAAUGUUUUUUAUUUGAUACAAAUCAAGUGGGAAAAUUGCCUCAAAAGAAGUUCAAGAACGAAAAUGAAAAUGAAAAACAAAAGUAAUAAAAUGCGAGUCACGGGAAGCUUGGCUUGGUACACUAAUUCUAAAACUAAACUAGCUAGUACAUACCUAUCAUCAGUGCCAGUGGUCUAUGAAUAGACCUUAGAACGUGUUUAAUCACAAACCGUUGUGUUAGAUUUUGUCAAAAAAAGAAAACGUUGUAUGAGAUAGGAAUAAUUAAGAUUCUCCGUUGUCUUGGUUUUUUUGGUGUUACUGUUGCAAUAAUAUUAAUAGUGCUUACCUGUACCAUUAAGGGUGAUUUGCUAGUUUUAACUUCUAGCCUUAAUUAUUGCUACCGCCUCCGUCUCAUUUGAGACAUGUUUAGCAUGCUUAUGGGACAAUUAGACCAUCUACAACAUAGCAUUUUAUUUUAGGUGUUUAAGUGAAUCAUGUAUAUACACAUAUCUAUUUUAUGAUUUUCAAUGAUAUUACUUAAUAAGCAAUCAAUCUCUCUAACCCAGCACCUUAGCAAAAGUUACUGAAUUUGAUCUGUUAAUAACUCAAUGUCAUUGUAUUUUAAAAAAGUUUAUUGAUUUAUGUACAUUUUAUUACGCAUGAUCCACAAAGAUUAAAGAGAGGGUGCUUACAUGGCCACCCUUCUCUAUAAACACCAAACAUUUCUCUCCACAACGGGAUGCUUAUUUAUUCAGGUGCUAAAUAGGUGAAGCACCCACCAUUGUGGAUGCUCUUAUAAUAAAAUAGUGUAUCAAUUUUUUUUCCGCGAUGAAUAAUUCUCUAUUGGGAAAAACCUAAGUCCCACAUCGGUAGAUAAGAGUUUAUAAAUAAGAGACACUCCUUAACUUAUGAACCGAUUUUGUAAGGAUGAGUUAAACCUCAAUUUGAACGUAGUUAUCUUUUGCACUACAAUCAAACUAAAUGAUCAUUUUGUUUUUAUGAAAUUGUAACAGUUUAGCAUUUCAGUCAUCUAAAUUUGCAUAAUAGAAAUUUAAUUUCUUUAUACUAAGUAGAUAAGAAAUUCAAAUUGUUAUAUAAGUAUAACUCAAUAGGAAGAAGUGGUACAAUUGCUCACUUCUUUACAUAUUAUAUGUGAGUUUCUUGAUUUCAUUGUUAGGCUCUUAAAACUAAAAAAAUAUUCAAAGCAAAAUGGAUAAGAAAAGACAUAAAAGCUAAGUAGCUAUUAUAUGGCCAAUAUCUGUACUUCUUAUGAUUCAUGACUCAUGAGUAGGGAAUGAUAGACAUUUUCAUCUUACAAAAAAGUCUUGCUCUAGCAUCUGCAAACCACAUGCUAACCAAAUAUGCAACAUUAUAAACUGUAAAGUAAAAGUGAACAGCAAUGUGUUCCAUAAUGUUAUGGGCCACGCUAUACGUCUUGAAUUUGCAUGUCCAGCCUGGUUUGUUAAGGGCUCAGGCUAUUCUUUGACACAAGUAAGAAAAAAGACACACAUGCUUGGCCACACACACUAUCUUCAUUGUCUCUACUCUAGACACACACUGCGUGCUUCUUCUACCAAAUUUCUAUAAUAUAGUAGCUAAUCAGUCUCUUUCUUUUCUGGCAAGCUUAGUUAAAGAUGACAUGAUCAAAAGCUAGACAUCAAAGAUAUAUGACACUAGUUAAAUAUAAUAUUGUAGUGCAAUGUAAUCUUGUGUUUGGAUUAUCUAUAAUGGGUCGUCUUUUUGCUAGUAAGUAUAAUGUUUUUAUUUUAUUUUUAAGAAGUUAAAUUAGUCCACUUAAAUUGAUAUCGAGGUGAAUCGAACCUGAGACCUUGAGAAUGAGCACACUUCAAGUUCUCAAGUCAACACCACCAGACCAACUUAAGUGGGUCGUAUAAUGUUAUUUUUAAAAUUCAAUUUUGAUGAUUCUAGAUAUAAAAUAUAGAACUAUUUAGUUUAUAAAUACGUAGAUAUUAAUUCUAAUUUUAACAAACAUGAAUCUCAUCUUCGACCAUGAUACAUUAAGAUGAAUCCCAAAUGAUUACCUAAACUUAGUCUAAUGAGCCCCGUCGUCAAUUUUUUAUAGUCAAGCACAUUUUGUCAUUUGAUUUAUAACUAAAAUCUUAUUAUUUUAAGGUUAGUUGGUGAUAUAUUAAAUUGGAAUUUUGUAUUGUCGAAUAGUUUCUCUUAUAGGGGAAGACCUUAAAAACUAUAAGAGAAACAGCUAAUAAGGAUCUAGAUAUUAGUGUUUUUAAUAAAAUAUUAUGGCGUUGUUUGAUUCAUGUUGUUGCUUCUUUUUCCUUAAAAAGAAUCAGAAUCAUAAGAUUUUAUAAUGACUGAAAACCAAUUUGGUAUACAAAAACACUCUCAUUUGGAUCAUUUUACAAAUAUCACAUUAAAAAGCAAUACAAUCCUUUCCUUAAAAAAGAAUAAAGAAACAGGUUUUUUUUUUUACUAGAAUAACACAUCUUAUUUGAAAGCAAUACAAUACCCUAAAGAAAGAAGUAUUCCUACAUAUUACUGCAGCAAAAUCUGAACCGAUACCUACAAGUUUUUCUGGUAAUAAAUUCUAUAAAGCAUGUCAGUAGUUUAUGUUAUAUUGUUCCAAUAAAAUCAAUAAAGUCAUUCAAUUGUUCUCUCGUGGUUGAAAAUGUAUCGAGCUCGAUGAUGAUUUUUUCCAACCACAUAUGAUGCAUGAUGCUAAAAUUUUAAAGAUAUUGCACCAUGCAUCAUAUUCUAUUCAUUCAUGACUUAUGUGACUGUAAAUUAAUCAUCAUCGAGCGGAAUACAUUUCAUACACCAUAAUUGUUGCCGCAUUCGGAGUGGUUUUCCUGAAUUCUAUGAUACUUAUCAUCAACCGUUUUAUCAUAUUCAAAUUUUACAUGUUUUAAACCUAACUCUAUUGGCCACUUUAUAGCCAAUAAUAGACCUAAAUCUUCUCCUUUAUGUACCAGAACCUUGAGCAACUGUCAUAGUGCACUAGCUCUGAAAAAAUGUCCAAAUACAAAUUGCAUUGCCCAUAGUACUACUGGGAUUAAAUCUUGGUUGUUUUAGAAACUUUAAGAAUGGAUAGAACCAAAUGAAUAUGACACAGUAGUGCUAAAUUGAUAUGAAUUCGAUCGGUAUAACCUUUUCUCUAUAAUUUGUCUCCAGAUAAAGGAGAAACGCCUUACUAGUGAAGUAGAUAUUAAAAAAUUCUAUGAAGUUAUCUGAAAGAUCAACUUUAAUUAAUAGAAUGGUCUGAAAUACAUGUGAAAUACAUAUGGCAUCAACAUAACUAUUGCUUAUACUAAUCAGUAAUCACACCCUACACCGAUGCACCGCAAUAAAACCCAGUGCCUCUUGGACCAGCAUCAUAAUACAUGGGCUAUCUGAAUAUGUAAGAAGCUGCUACUAAUUCAUUCAUGACUUAUGUGACUAAAUUAAAUUCUAUUCUAAGAAUAGUUUUCCUCGAAUAUGGUUGAUAACAUCAACUUUUGAACAAAAGUUGCUCUCAACCAUUGUUCUUGUUCGUCCUGCUCAACACCAUCAGUCCCAGACCUGCAGAGACAAAACCAGCAUACAAGAUUACAUCUUAAUAUCGGAAAAUGAGAAUCUGAAAAACUUAAACACAGGCUAGAAAUUUUUAAUCGUGACGACGUCAGGAUUGGAGUUUGAUUCAAACUGUUAAGAGUCUAAAACUUCUUAAUUGGUGGUUCAACACUCAACUAUAAUCUGCAAGGCUCCAAAUAGGAACUUCUAUGCUAGAAAUAUUUAAUAUAUUCCUAUCAAAAGGAUAAUAUUUUAAGGAUUUAGUCUUUUCUUCACAUUGAUAGCCAGGUAAUUCUGAUACGAGGAAUGAUACGUUUAUGCGAAGCAAAUUAAACAUCCUAAAAUAACUAAGAAAAACUAUCACGGCGUAGUCCUUCAAACUGCAAAUAUAAUUAUCAUCAUCAUAGGUUAGUUGGCAAGGUAGAAAGCAAAUCUUCCAAGAAACCAUCAGAACCAAACCUCAUAGCAAAUACAAGCUAGCUGCAUAAGUGCAUAUAAUGCACAUGUGCAUAACUGGCAUGCUUUGUAUGUGAUGCAUUCUACGAUAUAAGCUUCUCAAGGUUUCUCUUGUUAUGCCAACUCACCACCACUUCAAAAUCUCUAGGAGAAAAAGAACCGUACCUUUUUGCAUUAUGAAUUUCUAUAUCCUUGUUGCUGAGGCUGGAGUUUUCAUCUGGAUGGUUAUUGUUAUAGUUAGGAAUUGGUACAUUGCAGAUGAAUGGUGACAAAAGUGGAUCAGGUAUCGAUUCUUGUUUGUUUCCCCUAGCAGCUAGUUUCUUGCCAAACAUUGCUGAGUUACCAGACCAGAUGCUAGAUUUCUCAGUCUUCCACCCCCACUGUAUAAAAAAAAUAAAAAAAUACAUUGAAUUAAGUCAGACAAUAAAGAAAUGCCAUAAAGUCAAAACAUAUGCAGGAUUACGUUUUAGUACACAAGAAUUAUGAGAUAAGCAAAAUAUACCUUUCGCGAGCUUGAAUGUGUAAAUUGUGUGAAUGCAUUGUUCCCUAAAUUUUCUUCACACACAGGACAAACCUGACGUACAAAAAAUAUGAUCAGAUAUAUUAAACAUUGCUUACUUGCAUAAAAUGUAUGGAAAACAGAUUACAACAAAAAUUACUGCCGGACCAAAAUUUAUGGAAACAGAAAAAAAGGUUAUACCACAUUUUUUGGGGAAGAGCAAUACUCCUCUUCAAAAUCACUGCAGAGAGGAACUUGAAUUUCAAAAUCACAAAAAGGACAUCGGAAAUCAGAUUGGUAGUCGUCAUCCACGUCUGUGUAACGAAUUACUGAGUAAUUUUCUGUGGUAUGAAUGGGAUCAUUGUUAGAGAGCUUUUGCAGCACAAGCACAAUGAUUCUAUAUAGCAUGACAUACAAAAAUUUCUCAAAAUGAUUAAAGCGAUAGGAAAUAUAAAUUAUACACACAUAAUAUGCAGAUACGGCAUUACAAGUUCACAAAAUACCAACAAGAAUGAUAAACACAAUGGAAGGCUCACUUAUGCUCUUUAAAAUCUUCCAAAAAUGUCAAAUUUAUGACAAUCAUAAGCAAAAAUGGAACUUAGUCAUAUUAUUAAUUAAACAAAGUAAAAUACCAGUAAACAUUAAACAUGAAUCUUGUAGAUGUAGUUCAAGCAUGCAUAUGAAAAUUGGUAAUUCAGGACCUCAAGUCAAUAUCCUAUAAAUUUGACUUUAUGUAUAAAGCGCAGACAUCUUUAACUUAUACUUCAAGUAGAAUUAGGCAGUGUUUAGAUACACAAUUUAAGUAAGCUUUAUAGCACAAGUGCUUAUUGUAGAACCUUUCUUUUAUAAAAUGAGCACGGUACAACUGCAAAGGCACCAUUAUGAGUUAACUUACAACUCGACUUUUUUGCCAAAACAAAUUAAACUUGCAUCUCAACUAUGUUGGUACCCAUUACCCAAGAAACUAUGUAACUUAAAGCCUGAUUUUUUUUUUCAAGAAUGGAAUAAAGACAUGAUAUUUGUAACAAUAUAUAGAUACAAUUAGUUAGUUAGAGUUUGUUGAUAGUUAGUUAGUUGGUUAAUACUCAAUUAGCUCUAAAGUUCAUUCAUAUUGAAAAGGAAUCUUUUCAAUAUGAUUCCUUUUGAGAAUUCUCUCUCACUUUCAAGCUCUCAGGCUUCUAAAUUCAAUGUCAUUCAGAUUUUUAAGAAUUUCAUCAAUUAUAAACACUUAUUACAUAACUAUUUUUUUUUUAACAUAAGAUAAAAUAAAGUCAAAUUGUUGUCACAUAAUAUAAGCUAUUUUCAUAAGCUACUAUGAAGAGCUUAUGCAAAUAAGAUGGAAACAAUUUAUGGACAUGUCAUAUGCUAUUUCUAUAAAUGUUUAUACUACCUAAUGUUCAAAUAAUUCAUGAAUCAUGGAUUCAAAUGUCAUAACUAAUCAGUCCUAGGGGUGAUGUUAAGCAAAUAGUUAUAAAGGAUCUCAUCAAACAGUUUUACAAGCCAACCUUAAACUAAGAACUCAGAUAGAUAAAAACAAGGCUCAAACAUGAGACAAAUAAAUGGAAAAGAAAAAAGAAACAAAAAAGGAGGGUACUCAAAGUAAUAGUAGUAACUAGUAGGUAAGAAAACAAGUAUAGUACUAACCAGAGUGAAGUGGAGCAGAUUGAAGAGUAGAGAAGUGCUUUGUAGAAUGAAUACUGGCCAUCAUGUCCAAGUCCAUGAUGAUAUACCUUCUUUCUUUGUUUCUUCACAAGAGUACUGUGGAAAUGAACUGAAAGUGAAAGUGAUGGUUUUGUUUGGUUGAGGCUUGUGGCAGUGAAUGAAUGAAUGAGAAAAGGUUUAUGAGUCUGAAUGAACUCAACAACUCCAAAAGAGACGACUUUGCUUGUCCAUCAUUAGUCAAGUCAUCACCAUUCACCAAUGGCUUUGUGGCAAUGUGAUGUUUUGCUGAGUCAUGUUUGGUUUCUGACACUGGAUGCUUUUCCAACACACAAAAAGAUCAACAAUCAUGACUCUGACUCACACUUGUCCUAUUUUCUAUCAACAUUUUCUUUCUUUCCCAAAUUAAUUACUUCCUCUGAAAGUCUUCUAUGGUCACAAAGCUAUAUCAAAAAGAUUUGGACACACUCAUGUAAAAUGAAAAAUAAUUAAAAGAGAAUGAAAUUCAAUAAUACUUACUAAUGGAUAAAGUCUUGCUUAGGCACAUACCCAACACUUCAAUUUUGGGCACAUACUCACAUAAAACUAACAAAUUAAAUAAAAAGUAUUUCGUCACAUCAAAUGAUAUAUUAUAAUUUUAUUUUCUAUUAACUUUUUCUUGCUUUUGUGUGUAUGCCCAAAAUUGAGGUGUUAGGUUUGUGCCCAACCAAGACUUUCUCCUAAUUGAUGUGACUACAUUAGUUUUGUUUUAUUUUUUUUAGUUUAUGUGAGUGUGUCUAAAUAUGAGGUGUUGGGUUUAUAACCAAGAGUUUCUCUUACUUCCUAGGGUUGUAUUUACAAAAAAAAAAAAAAAAAUACAUUGAAUAAUGUAUGUAUGUAGUCAUGAAUCUAAACCAGAUACAUAAAUAUCCAAUAUAUCUAAAAAAUCAAUUGUUUCUUGUAAAUAGAACCGGAUGGAUGGAGUAAUAAAAAAACAAAUAUAGUAGAUAUUGCAUCGAAAUUGUGUAAUAAAUUUUCAAAAGUUAAAAAAAAGUGUUUUUUUAAUUUAAAAUUUCAAUUUUUUUGUUUUCUUAACUAGUGUUUGGGUACAACGGUUGGCAUGACCCAUUGAUAAUAACAUCGAACUAAUGUGAACUAUUUUCUGUUUAAAGAAAAUGUUAAUUAGUGUCUGGGGCAUUAGUUAAGAAACUAAAUCUUUUUUAGAAUUUGUUUAAUCAAACACUUAAAAGUUUAGAAAAUAUUCUUUUUAAUAUAAAACUUUUUGUUUAUUUCUUUAAUUAAUUUCAGGGCAUUAGUUAGCAUGAUCAUUUUUUAAAAUUUAGUAUCCAAUUCGAGUAUCAACUAAUUUAACUGUCAUGUAUGAAUUAAUCAACCAAAAUGACCUCGAGGUGAAUUGAACUUAGAGUAACAGAUUUCAAGUUUCCAAACCAAUCUAACUAAAACACCAUGGUUUUGAGUAUUUAAUUGAUCCCUCAUGUAAAUCAUAGCAGACAAUAUAUCUCUAAUAAAAUUACUAAAUAAAUCAACUAAUAACUAUACAACAGCACAUUUCAACAACGUUAAUUUAUUUUAAUAACAAAACACAUGAGAUUGUUGAGAGAGUGUUGUGUUUGCUCGUCGUCUUAUUUGGCAUUGUAUAGGUUUGUUAUCUUGAACGGCGUUUGUUGGUUUUCAUCUUAAUAUAGUGUUUGUUGGUUUAGAUUGACAUUAUCGUUUAAAUUCAUUGCAAAUAUAAUGAAAACUUGAGCGAAUGUUGUAAAUCCAAAAACAUAAAUACUUCUUUUACUUUUAUUUUGUCAUAUUUGUAGGUAUUAUGAUGUUGUCGUUGUAUGUUAUUAACUUAAAUGUUACAAGAUUGUCUGCGGAUUCAGUUUUUUCGGUGGAAAAAAAAUACAAAGCAAUGUCGUGGCAGUGAGCACCAUUGAUAACGUAGGUGCUAAGCAUCACACACACACACCUAUCCAAAGAGGCACCGAACCUCUAACAUCAAAAGGUAGUUCAAACGUAAAGUAGUCUUUUGUGACCUUAAAGUAGUCUUUAUAAACAUGCAUAAAAGCUAUGUUGAGAAAAAUGAUAAACACGACAAAUUUUUCCGUCCUUUUUACAUUCGAAUAUAUUCUACUUGGUAGUGGUUGAUGAAGAUGUUCAUGUGUAACUAGUAACGCCUUUACCUAAUGUGAAUCUUAUGGAUUAGUAGAAGCGACUAGGAAUAAAUAAUUAUAGGAGAAUGCCAAGUGUUGUCCUCUAACAGCACUUGCGUUUGACAAAUAAUUAUAUGGAUGCUUAAUGCUUUGGUCUCUAAUGUUCAUUGUUUUAGCUAUCUAGUUGAGGUGAUAUUUGCUGUAAUGGAAAGUUAAGGAAGAAAUUAUCAACAUUUUGUACUUCUUAAAUGAAGUCUCAAGUUUUGGAUGAACCUUUAAUUAGGAUUUAGUUAGAUUGUUGAGAUUGGUUUGAGUAUUUAGGGUAUGUUUGGAUUGUCUUAUUUUUUUAGUUUAUAAAAAAUAGUUUAUGUAAAUAAAUAAAUUUUUAUGUUAAUUCAUAAGUUUUUCACUAACAAAUAUUAUAUCUUGAUAAAUUGUUUUUUCGUAAACUACAUUAACAACCUUAUGAAUAAUACAUAAAAACUUAUUUAUUUGCAGAAGUUGUUUUACUUAAGCUCAAAAAUAAGUCAAUUCAAACAGACAUUUGUUCUAAUUUAAUUUAAAAUUUAAACUGUAUAUAUGCAUGUUGCGCAGAUUAAUAAAUAAAAUUAUUUUGUAUUUUUUUUGCUCAUGAUACAUAUUGUAAUUUAGGGUAUUUAUUGUAUGAUGAUUUCACGUAACAAAAAGAUGAGAAUAUAUUUUUUUAUCAAAAAAAUAGAGUUCAACACAUAUUGCUCCUUGAGUCUUGAGAUUUAGAGUGGUUCACUUGCAUCGUUCUCACUAAUGCAUUACAUUCACUCCUAAAGAUACACAUCAAUGGAGUUUUGUUGUUUAUACUAAUAUUGCUCCUUGAGGCUUGAGAUUUCAACAUAAAACCCUACUCUUAUAUCAGAUAUUGAUGUCGCCCUUAAAUCAUUCCUCACACGACUCAACGUCUAACCCUCAACUGUAAACACACUUGAUCAACUAAUGUUAUGAGCCGAUCAAUCCGAGAGCCUGCUCAAUCUUUCCAUGACAGUGUGAGAAAGUGAAGUUAUAAAAUAUUUUGUAAAAAAAUUGAAUGAAACAAAAGUGAGUCAAUUCACAAAAACUUUAUGGAUAUAUGAAAUAAUUCACUUAAAAAAAAUCAACAAAAACAUUUUUCAAAAAUAAGUGAAACGAUUCAAUAUUUGAAGUGAAAUGAUUCACUCUUUUCUCUGACAUUGUGAAACAAUUCACUCUACAUAGUGAAAUGACUCAUAAGUUAAAAAUGUUCAAAUUUCCAAAACCAACAAUCUGUGAAUGAAUGCAGGGUUUCAAAUAUGCAACCUAGAUAUAAUUGUGAAGUUUUUUUUUUUUUUUUUGAGCAAAUAUAAUUGUGAAGUUAAGAUCAUAGGAGAUUCUCUUCUGCUCUUUCUCUCUCAAAAAAAAAGGAGCUACCAAUAUUAACCUAACUACAAGAAAUUAAACAAAAGACCAAAUUAUGCACUCGUAAAUAAUUUUUCAUAAAAAAUUAUUUUGACUAUUUCAACGUUUUGCUAUGACUUUUUUGGAUAGUAAAAUUUAAAAAAUACUAAAAGUAAGAAGCUAUUUUGAAGUUGUUUCUCGUAAAAAUCAUUUUUAAAAGAUACUUUUCUAAAAAAAUAUUCAAUUUUUAUUUUGUUAAAAUCUUUGAAUAUGAAUAUAUAUAUAUAUAUAUAUAUAUAUAUAUAUAUAUAUAUAUAUAUAUAUAUAUAAGAAAGGAUAUAUUGACUCCAAGAGUAACUCAAUAGAGUUACUCCAGAUCACUACCAUCCAUUUUAUUUUAAUCUAACAGUCUAAAUUAAUUAUAUGCUUGUGCACCGAAUAAGAUUCCACACCCGAUCAACAUUGGAUUUUGUUAACAACAAAAAGAUCAAGACUUUUCUUUCCUAUUCAUACCUUCAGCCAGAAAAAUUGUAUUAACAACAAGAUUCAAAUUAAUGUUGCUUAUUGGGAAUAUAUCUCCAUCAUCAAAAUUUUGGUUGGAAAUAUAUCCUUCGUAAUUGGGAAUAUGAGAUCUCUUGGGAAUAUAUAUCCAUCAUCAAAAAUUAAAUUGCAUCAAAGUUUCUGAUUGAGAAUAUAUUUCAAUUGCAUCAAUUUGAAUUGGGAUUUUAAUUGUUAAUCUAAUUUUUUUUUACAAGAAUUGUUAAUCUAUUUAAUUGCUUCGAUCUCUUUGUUGAAUUUUUACAAGGUAUGAAUCAGAAAGAAAUGUCUUUGAUGGUUUUGUACAACAAAAUCUAAUGGUUCGAUCAGGUGUGGAAUCUUAUUCGGUGCACAAGAAUAUAAUUAACCAAGGCUGUUAGAUUAAAAUGAAAUGGAUAGUAGUGAUUUGGAGUAACUUCCUUCAUUGAGUUACUCUUGGAGUCAAUAUAUCCCUCAUCUAUAUAUAUAUUAUGAAUCACGGUGAAUAUCCAUGUUAUUAAUGUAAAAAAAAAAUUAAGAAGGUUAUUAAUGUCAAAUUACUUUUAAAACCAAAGACCGACUGCACUCUCAUAGAUUUGUUUUUAAUAAAAACCAUUUUGAGUAUUUCGUCAUUUUGAUAUGACUUUUGUGGGUAGUAAAAUUUAAAAAAAAAAUGCUAAAAAUGAGAAACUAUUUUGACGUAUCUUCUUGUAACAAUCAUUUUCGAGAGUUUUUUUUUUUUUAAAUAUUUAAUAUUUAUUAUAUUAAAAUCUCUAACAAUGAAUAUCUUCACUUUUUAAUGGCAAUGAAUAUCUAUCAUAAUAAUGUCAAAAUUACUUUUCAAGAGAUAUUUGAUCUAUGUGAUCAUAACUUAGUUGACAUAAAUAUUGCAUAUAUAUGUAGAAACUUGGGUUCAAACUUUUGAUCUCCAUUUAUUCACCUUAAAAGGGUGAAAUUUUAGUUGCUACACUGCUUGAUAAAAAAAAAAUUGUCAACUUUUGUAUUUUAUGAAACAUCAUUUAAAAAAAUCAUUACUUUUUUGGUGUGAAUCAGGUGGGUAUUCCUUGCAUGUAAAACUAAUAAUGGAUGGUAAGACUUUUAUAGAGAGAUAUAACACGAUUACACUCUCAUGAGGAACUUCAAACACAAGCCUCUUAUUAACCUUGAAAAGAUCAAUUUUUCAUUGUUUUAGGCGAGAAACAAAUAUUUUGGCAUAAAUCCACAAUCAUUUUAUAAUGAAAUAUAAGAAAAAUAAGGCUUAAUACAUCCCCCAGUCCUUUAAAUUAUUUUAUUUUCUCAGUUUGGUCCCUUAACUAUAAAGUGUUUCAAUUUGGCCCCUUAUGUAUUCUUCUGUUAUCUAUUUCGGUCAUCUCCGUUAGUAUUUUAAUGUCUAAUAUUUUUGAUUUGAUUUCAACCAUUUGAUUGCAAGUCCAUCGUAUACAACACUGAACCACCAACAUCUAAUCUUUUUUGUAUUUCUUCAUCUUCUUCUCAGAUCUUCUUCAUCUUCAUAAACAUUCAUAAAAAAAACAAUAAAAACCAAGAAAAAAACCCUUAAUCAGCCGGAAAGAGAAACGGCCAAGGACAAGAUGACAUAGCCAUGGAGAAGACAGUUCAAACACACAAACAGAACCGUACACAACCCGGAAAAGUGUUGCCGGAAAACCCCAGCUCGCCGGAGAAAUGUAAACGCUGAAGGAAAGCCAACAUAAUCCUCAAACUAGUGUUACCUGUAAAACAAAAAACGCAAACAGCUAGAAAAACCAGAAAACACAGUCCAAUUCCGAGCCAGAUCUCGCCGGAAAACACCUGCACCGGAAAAUGACGAGCCCAGAAAGAGAGGGAUUACGAUCCUGAGAAACACGAUCAUGUAGUAAACAGGACAAAGCUUCAAGAUGGCGCAAACUACCCAUAUCUCGCCGGAGUAAACCCUUCGGCGGAGAUAAGUGAAAAUAGUUGAAUCCAAGUGGAAUACAACCCAGAUAUGUGCGAAUUGGAAGAAACAGGCCAGAAAACACAGAAAAUCUUCAACCGCAACCUCACCGGAGAAGGCAGAUCACGCCGGAGAAGAGACAGUGAGAGGAGAGAACAGUGCAGAUCCGUUGAAACCAAGGAAAAUAGAGCUAAGCAGUGAAGAGAACGUGAAAAACUAGCCAGAGAACACAGCAAAACCUCACCGUACCAUCACCAGAAUCUCGCCGGAAAUAGACCAGGAGGAGAGAGAACAUAGCUUUCGGUCGAACAUUCUUUGCUGGGUUUGUUUGAAGAAAAAUAUGAUGAAGAAUUUAAUUUUCUUGUUUUGAAGAUGAUAAAAAAAAUUAUAUAUAUACAUAUUUUUUUUUAUUUCUGGGUUUUAAUGGUUGAAGAUUGAUGAAGGUAUAUAUAGAUGUUAUUGAAGAUGAUGAAGAAAUUAAAGGAAGAAGAUGAAGAAAGGGGAAAAAAUUGGUUGUUGGCGGUUCACUAUACGAUACAAUAGACAUGUAUGAUCUAACCGUUCUCAUUAAUAGACAAAAGAUCAAAGGGUUAAAAUUAAAAAUCUAUUAAGAUCUAUGGUGGACCACCUAUAAUGUUGGUUCACCUUAUACAUUUAUGGUUAAAAACUAACGAAAUAGACCAAAAUAGGUAACGGCAGAAGAGUUAAGGGACCAAAUUGAGACACUUUAUAGUUAAGGGACGAAACUGAGAAAAUAAAAUAAGUUAAGGGACCGGGAGAUGUAUUAAGCCGAAAAAUAAUAUGUAUUUGUUUAAACAAGCAAAAAAGUUAAUCUAUGUAGUUCAAAAUUUAGUCUGUAGACAUUAAUUUUUUAUCGAGUAAAUAAGCAAUUAUUCCUCGAAAUUGUAAGUUUCGUCAAUUAUCCCCUGACGUUAACAAAUCUUCAAUUACCCCCUUAAAUUGCACCACGUUAAUCAAUUUACCCUCUCCUUCAAAUUCUUCUAUUAGUCACAUUACGUUUUACAAAUACUCCCUAAAGUUUUGCACUUAUUGCAAAAUGCCCCGAACUUUAAAAUUUAUAUAUUUUUUUUCUUAUACUUGACUCAAAAGAUAUUAAAGGCAAACAAUUAACAUAGUGGUUGAUAUUUUUUGUAAAAAAUGUAUAAUUACAAUAUUUUUCAACUUAGCUACAUAUUUAAAUUGAUAUGCUUUGUUUUAUAAAUGGAUUACAUGACAUUUUUUUUAACCAAUGAUUAGAUGACAUUGUUUCUAAUUGUUUGUCUCCAAUACUUAUCUGAUUAUGAAAAUUAUAUCAAAUGACAAUAUACACUAUUAUCAUUUAGCAAUAUAAUUCGUUACCAUGUGGCAUCAUCCACUAUUUUGAAAUCACAGAGAUAUGAAAGAAUUAAAUGAAUAGUAAAUAAAUACACCUCUUAGAUAAAGCAAUAGUCUUGUAAAUCUUGCUUUAGUUUUGGAUUGCAAUUGGAGAUGCAUUAGUGUGUCAGCAAAGUUAAAAACUCAUUUUACAUAUUGUUGAAUUUUGAGAGUUUUUUUGUGUCUCAUUGUUGUUGUUUAUAAAUAGCUAAACAAUUUAUGUAUGCUUAUAUUCUUGUUUCAUUCUUGCACAUCUUCUGUUUGGAUCUGGUUUAAUAGUAUAAGUAUAUUUUGCCUUUGCAAAAAAGAAGAAGCAAUAGAUAAGUAAAUCUGUGAAGGGACUGAAGUUGAGCCUAUUAAGUAGAUCAUGACAAUAUUGAAGCAUAUGAAUGAAAUAGAAAAUUAUACGUGCAGAAGAAACAACUAUUCAAUUUCAAACAUAAUCUAAAGAGACAACCAAAUAGUCCAUAUAACAUAGAUGAAGAACCAAAUAUCAAGUAGAGAUUCUAAAAGAUUUUCAUUAAAGCCAAAUGUUAAUUGUUUGCUUUUAAUAUCUUGAGUCAAGUAUAAGAAGAAAAAAAUAUAUAAAUUUUCAAGUUCGGGGAGCAUUUUGCACAUAAGUGUAAAACUAUAGGGGGGAUUUGCAAAACGUGAUGUUGACUAACAGAAGAAUUUGACGGAUGAGGUAAAUUGAUUAACGUUGUAUAAUUCUAGAGGAGUAAUUUAAGUUUUGUUAACGUCAUGAGGUAAUUGUCGAAACUUAAAAUUUCAGAGGAGUAAUUGUCUAUUUACUCAUUUUUUAUCUAUCAUUUUUACUUUUAUUUCCUUUCGGAUAGAGUAUACUCCCUCCGUCCCACAAUAACUGAUUCUUUUGCAAAAAAAAAAUGUUCCAAAAUAACUGAGCCAUUUCACUUUUCAAUACAAUACAUUACUUUUUUUUUCUUUAUAACUCUAAAUAAUACUCCAUCCGUUUCAAAAUGAGUGUUGCUUUAAACUUUGGCACACAAAUUAAGAAAUGGAAUGAAAUAAUCAUUGGAUAUAAUACUUUUACUAAAUUGCUCUUACUUUAUAAGAAAAAGACAAAAUUAAAGUUGCAUUGAAUAUUGUGUGAGAGAAAACCUGGAGAGGGUAAAGUUGGAAGAAAAAAAUUAAAGUUGUAUGGGAAAUGUAAAGUGACCUUCAUUUUGAAACAAAUAUUUUUGGCUAAGGUGACACUCGUUUUGAAACGGAAGGAGUAAUACUUUCACAACUUCCAAUUCAAUAUAUUUCAUUUUGCAUUUAUGAUAGUGGAGAAUGUACCAAUAUUUGACAAUAAAAUCAUUGUUCUCUCUUCUUCAUUUAUACAUUUAUCUUAAUAUGUGUGAAAAGAAAAAAUGACUCAGCUAAUUUAGGACCGAUGUAGUAUUUGGGAAAGAAUUCAAUUUUUUUACUUUUUAUCGCGAGAAAUAUUCAAUAUUCACAUUACCAUUGAUGGAGUACCGGUAAUGCAUUGCUCCGAAUUCCUAAACCUGCAGCAAUGAAAGCGUUAGAAUCAGUUGCUCGUAAUCUCAGAUUCAUCAACUCGUUACUCACCAUCCGAGUCACUACAACUCGCUCACUCCACCAGGUUUCUCACUUCUCUCUCUACACCCCACCACCCCUUUUUAUCCCCUCCCCGUUUCACGAUUCACGUUUUCAUCAAACACACUAUGUUUCAUCAAAACCCAACUCCAUUGUUGAGCUUAUUCAAACAAACGCUUGGUCUCAAGGGUUUGAAAAAGAGUUAGAAAAUUGUUACCCUUCUUUGACCCAUGAAACCGUUGUUUACAUUUUGAAACAAUUGGAUAAUGACCCAUUAAAAGCUUCUUGCUUUUUCAAUUGGGUCAGUAAGAAAAAUUGGUUUUUGCCAAGUUCUUCAUUGUGUAAUUUGAUUCUUAGGAUUUUAGCUAAUAAGGAUACAAUUGAACAAUUUUGGAUUCAUUUAAGGAUGAUGAGGAAAAAAGGGUUUUAUCUUGAUCGAAUUACGUAUAGGUCGAUUUUGGAGGGUUUUAGACGAGAGAAAAUGAACAGGGAUUUCGCUUGUCUUAAAACUUUUUUUAAGAAUAUGGUUGAGGAAAAUGCAAGGCAGGUUGUUUUCAACAAGGUGGUUAGUGUGAUUUUAGGAUCUGAGUGGGGUGAUGAGGUUGUGAAUGAGCUUGUAGAGCUUAAGAUUCAAUUUUCGGAUAGUUUUGUGAUACGGGUUUUGAAAGAGCUUCGAAGUUGUCCUUUAAAGGGUUACAACUUUUUUUAUUGGGUUGGGAAGCAAUCUGGUUAUCAACAUAAUGCUGUGACUUACAAUGCAGUUGCUAGAGUUCUUGCUAGGAUGGAUUCAAUUGAGGAGUUUUGGAGUAUUCUUGCGGAGAUGAAGAGUGUGAAUUAUGAAUUGGAGAUUGAUACUUAUAUGAAGAUAACAAUGCAGUUUGUAAAGAAUCAGAUGAUGAAGGAUGCUGUUAAGCUUUACGAGCUUAUGAUGGAUGGUUCAUAUGAGCCAUCGGUUCACGAUUGCUGUUUCCUUUUAAACGCUAUCGCUACAAGUGAUUCACCGAAUUCGGAUCUUGUUUUCCGGGUAGCCAAGAAAUAUGAAUCCGCAGGGUAUACUCUCACCAAGGAAAUCUAUGAUGGAAUACACAGGUGUUUGACAAGUGUGGGGAAAUUUGACAAAGCUGAAAAUAUUGUUAAGACUAUGAGAAAUGGUGGCCAUGAACCUGAUAAUACUACAUACAGUCAACUGGUUUUUGGACUUUGUAAGAUGAAGAGGGUUGAAGAAGCAUGUAAGGUGCUGGAGGAGAUGGAAUCUAGUGGCUGCAUUCCUGAUAACAAAACUUGGUCCAUCUUUAUCCAAGGGCAUUGUGCUGCCAAUGCAUUAGAUAAGGCAUUACUUUGUUUAAGUAAGAUGAUUGAAAAAGACUGCAAUCCAGAUGCUGCUGCGAUAGACGCUUUGGUUGAUAGCUUUCUUAGUCAAGAGAAAAUAGACAACGCAUACAAGUUUCUUGUAGAGAUGGUUGAGAUAUGCGCUUCUCCUAGGCAAUGUACAUACGAGAAAUUGAUCCAAAACCUGUUAGGAAUCGGAAAAUUUGAAGAUGCACUUGACCUUCUUUGUUUGAUGAGGAAACACAAGUACUCUCCAUUCAACAAACCAAUUGUGCAGUAUGUUUCAAAGUUUGGGACCGUGGAGGAUGCUGAGAAAUUCCUGAAGGCAUGGAGAAAGGGAAGUCCUAGGUCCCAUUCCGCCUAUCUUCAUGUUUUGGAAUCUUUCAUCGGAGAAGGUAGACUCUCUGAGGUCAAAGAUCUAUUGUGCAAGUUUCCUUCGCAGAUAAAGAGACAUAAAAAGAUCAAUGAAUUUUUUAGCUUCAGUGGAGACUCGGAUGUUGCCAGUGCUACUUGAUGCCCAGAAAACUUUUCCUUCCUAGUGUCCAAAAUGCGUCAAAAGUCAGAGGUCUUGGAUUGGAUUCCUGCUUGUGGUCUUUCAGAAAUCUGUCAUUUGUAAGCAUCAGGGUAAGCUACUGAUCUAUGUAUGCCAUGAUCUUGGAUUCAGGCAAGUGACAACCUCCUUUCACUCUAGACUACUAAUUGCAAUUUGUGAGUUUCUCCAAAUGAUUAACUUUGAUCAGGCUUUUAGGCAUGUUUGGUUUUUGCACUGUGCAGAAAACCUCGUCUGAACCAGUAAUUUCAUCUCUAACACAAUGUUUUACAAGGUUUACCAAUUACAUCUUUUAUGUUCAUCUUUGAGAGACUGACCUUUGAUGAGUACUGUUUUGAGGGUGAAAAUAGAAGUAGGAAUGCUGUUUUGGCUUCCGAGGAUAGUUUUUAUUUUAUUUUUUUAAUUUUUUGUUACAAGGCCUGCAUCAUUGUUCACUAUGUUACAAGGCCUGCAUCAUUGUUCACUAUUGUUCACUAUUUCGACUACACUCACUUUGGAACUAAGAAAUAAGAACGAUGUUAUCAUUUUCAAUGAAUUACUGUUUUGUUUUGAAGCUCUUCCCCCGUUGAUGAGGUAAUGUUAACAAAGAUGGCAGAAUUAUUGACAAAAUCAGAUGAUAGUUUACGUACACUCUGCCUUAUAGUCUUACUUGGUUAAAAAGGGCAAAAGAAGCGAGAGCUCGUAAUCAUAUAAAUACAAUGUUACACUUCUAGUUUGGACCAAUUAGUCUCAGUUUUACAGGAUACAGAUCUAAUAUUUUGAGCAUAAAAAUAUUGUUAUUAAGUUACAGUAAAACAAAUUGUUUAGAAGGGAUUCGUCCUUUUAGCACUUGGUAGCAUUUAAAAUAUAGGUUUCUUAUUUUCAGGUAAGAAGAUAUCAUGAAUCACUCAUUAAAUUAUUUUUUUGCUUGGACUCCAGCUCUAGUAAGCAAAUAAAGAGUAUUAUUAUUCAUGAACUAUGAUUAUGUGAGCAAAAAUUAAUUUUUUGCUUUGUAGCCUUGUAGGUGUGGAGGUACUUGCUGAUAAGUUAAUAAGAGUAUGUGCUCUACAUUCAUUCAUAACUAAUUGAAUAGGAUGGAUACAUUACAAAAACCAUGUUCUUAUGCCGACAUCUACCAUCAUCUUAUGUUAAGUAAUUGUUGGAUUCGGUUUCAUCUUCUUCUUUUACAGAAAAAUAUACUUUAUUUCAUUAAAAACGAGCAUUUAAACUGGCUGUUGCCUUAACAAAUUGAUGGGCAGUCGUGUUAGCUUGUCACCUAGUGAACUCGCAACAUGAUAGUUUAAACAAGAUAACAAAAGGAGUCAUUAAUUUGGAUAAAUUUGUAUUACUUGAAUAAACUUGUAUUCUAUAACCAAUGAACUGCAACACUCUCUUAUUUAAUAAAAUUAAUAUUGACCUCAUACUUUAGAAAUGAGUCGCGCAUGAAUUGAUGAGAUCUACAUUGAUUUCACCUAAUAAAAGAAUGGGUGUUAGAUCGAGUGUUAGAAAAAGAGUGUUCCUAAUACUCCUCUCUUUGAAAUAUAUAACUAGCUUUCAAGUAAAUCGAAGUCUACGGCUAUAAUUUUGGGAAACUCUAAAUAAUUAGUUAACAAUAUGACUAGCUAAUUGCACAUCAAAUGCGACAAAAGCGUAACUUGAUGACUUUUAUGUGAACUUAGGGUUAGAUGGAAAGAGUAAUUUUCGCAAACAACCUUAACUUAAAGAAUCAAAUUGACAAUUUUUAUAGUUAAUGGACUAUUUGUAAACCUGUUUUAUUAAUGAUAUUUUGAAAAUGAUAGUUGUUCUUGUUGGAGAAUAUAAAUGUCCAUGAUUCGAAAUGGCUUUUGCAAUGAUUUACACUAGUUGGCAUCAAUCUUUUAUGCUAGGCUCAAACAUGAUUUUAAGAUCCUAGCUACGCCAUACGUUCAAUACAUAAUCUGGAAAGCUGCAGGGAUGACAAAAAGAGGGCGCUUUCCUGUGUUGCACUGAAAAAAAAAGAAACCUAACUAAGUAAGAGAGAGAGAAGAUGGAUCCUAUCCCCUAUAUCGAACACUAAAUCCUAUCUAGAUGAACCUACAAAGACACUCCAAUAUCCAAGUCGGUGAUGUUUCAAUGUGAUUUGAGGAGAUUUUAUAUAAUUAGAUUGUGUACCUUAUGAUCGUUUGGAGGGAUCAUAUGGACUCUAAGAAUGUUGUUUGGUGCAUCACAAUUUUUCAUCAGUGUAUGUAGUCAGCACUCAGCAACAAUAGAUAGACACUUUAUUAGACCUUAGUUGUGAUAAUUGAAUGUGGAUCCGAAGAGUUUCACCUUGAUCUAGUCUUAAAAAAAUAAAAUUGUUUAGAUAUUUUUUGAGUGAAAAUUAUUUAGAUUUUGUUUAUCUAUUUCCUUUUAGCAAUUAUUCUAUCAAAUAUGGUUUUUUUUCUUUAUUACAUUGGAAUCUUGAGUAGUACUAUAAAUCUUGUCGUCACUUUGGUAUAAACAAUGCAUAAUGUACACCACCAAAAAAAAGUCAUGGAAAUAUAAACGGGUAUGCAAGACAGUAGAUCCAUUAACCCAUACCCACAAGACAAAAUAAUCCUUAAACCUUAAACCCUUCCCAAAAACACAACCUUAUUAGCGUCGCGCAGCAAUUUCUUCUCCGAAACAAUCCAAACUUUUACGAUGAAUCGCAUGAAAGCAAUAACCACUUCCCUCAAAUUCCUCAAAUCAUCAUCAUCAUCAUCACGCGCUACACAAGUUCUUGCAACUGGGUACCAGGUUUCUCAUUUUUCUUCUUCCUCCUUUUCACUUCCUAUGUUGAAUCGUUCACACAAUUUAUUACCUUUUCACAACAGUCAUAAAAAACACUAUUUUUCUUCAAAACCCAACUCAAUUUUAGAGCGUGUUUACACCAAUGAUUGGUCUGAAGAGUUAGAGAAAGAAUUUGAAGAAUGUCGUGAAUCAUUGACCCAUGAAACUGUUGUUUAUGUUUUGAAGCGAUUGGAUAAUAACCCUCUUAAAGUUUUCACCUUUUUCAAUUGGGUCAGUGAGAAAGAGUGGUUUAUGGCUAGUUCUUCGGCUUAUAGCUUGGUUCUCAGGAUUUUAGCUAGGAAUAAGAAUAUGAAAGAGUUUUGGAUUGUUCUUAAGGCUAUGAAGGAAAAUGGGUUUUAUUUAGAUGAAGAGACACAUUUGAUACUUUCGGCAGAUUUGAAAAAGGCGAAGAUGAAGAGUGAUGUUGUUGAGUAUUCACGUUUCUAUAAAGGGAUGCUUGAGCAGGAUGCAAUGCAGAGUGUUGUCAAAAAGGUGGUUGGUAUUAUUUCAGGGUCUGAUUGGGACAAUGAGAUUGAGAAUGAACUCGAGAAGGUUAAAAUUCAACUUUCGGACAAUUUCGUGAUUAGGGUUAUGAAAGAGCUUCGAAAUAGUCCUUUAAAGGCUUAUAAGUUUUUUCAUUGGGUUGGAAAGCAAUCUGGUUAUCUACAGAAUACAGUGACUUAUAAUGCAGUUGCUAGAGUUCUUCCUAGAAUGGAGUCAAUUGAGAAGUUUUGGAGUAUUCUUGAGGAGAUGAAGAGUGUCGGUCAUGAAUUGGAUCUUGAUACUUACAUUAAGAUAUCGAGGCAGCUUCUAAAUAAUAGGAUGAUGGAGGACAGUGUCAAGCUUUACGAGCAUAUGAUGGAUAGUUCAUAUAAGCCUACAGCUCCGGAUUGCAUUGUGCUUUUAAAGAGCCUAUCUACAAAGGAUAAGCCAGAUUUGGAUUUAGUUUUCAGGGUAACUAAGAAAUUUGAGUCAACAGGGUAUACUCUUUCCAAGGCAGUCUAUGAUGGUAUUCAUAGGUCUUUGACAGGUGCUGGGAAAUUUGAUGAAGCUGAAAAGAUUGUCGAGACCAUGAAAAAUGCUGGCUACGAACCAGAUAACAUCACAUACAGUCAACUUAUUUUCGGAUUUUGUAAGACGAGGAGGUUCAAAGAAGCACUUAAGGUAAUCGAUCAUAUGCAAGCUAUCAAUCUUUGGGUUGACAUCAAGACUUGGACCAUCUUGAUCCAAGGGUACUGUGAUGCCGGCGAACUAGAUGGUGCGUUACUUGGUCUUUAUAAGAUGAUGGAAAAGUCUUCCAGUCCAGAUGCUGAAUUGUUGGAAGUACUGGUUGAUGGUUUUAUUAAGCAAAAGAGAAUAGACGAUGCAUACAAGUUGCUUCUAGAGAUAUCUGGCAAGUGUCAUUUAAGUCCAUGGCAAGCUACAUUCGAGAAACUGAUUGAUAGUCUAUUAAGAGUCAGAAAGUUUGAGGAGGCGCUCGACCUUCUUCGUUUGAUGAAGUCUAAACAAUGCUCUCCAUACCAUGAACCAUUUGCAUCAUAUAUUUCGAAGUUUGGGACCGUGGAGGAUGCUGUGGAAUUCCUGAAAGCAUUGAGUAUAAAAAAUUACCCAUCUCAAACAGUUUACCUCCAAAUUUUUGAAUCCUUAUUUCAAGAAGGUAGACUUUCAGAGGCCAAAGAUCUAUUGUACAGGUGUCCUCACCAUAUCCGGGAAAAUAUUAAAAUCUCCAAACUUUUUGAUUCAUCCAAGAGUCAGGCGACCGAGAGUCAAAUGGCUGCUACUUGAUCCCUAUUUUUUUGUACGUACGGGGCAAAAAACACUUGUGUAAACCUGUAAUUUCAUCACAGAGAGCAAUUUUUUUAGAGGGUUUACUCAUCACAGCUUCUGUGUUCAUCUAACAGAGUAUGACCUUUCUGAGUGCUGUUUUUAGGUGACAGUUAAGCUUCAAAGGUUUUUGUUUUCAUUUUUAAUUCAAGCAUGUAUCAUAGUUCAUAAUGUUACCGUUUAUUUUGAAGUUGACUACCCACUUUGGAACUAAGAAAUAUGAAUGAUAUGUCAUUUUCAAUGAAUUACUGUUUUGUUUUGAAGUAGUUCGCUGUUGACAAGGCAAUGUCAAGAGAAACGACUCUCAGAUUUAUAGGAUACGGAUUUCAUCGUUUGAGCAUAAAAUAGUUAUAUAUAUAUAUAAAGGGCAUUUUAAAUGAGAGGACUUUUUAAAUGAGAGGGUGAGAGGAUGAAACUGUGGCCUUUAAAUUAUUUAGAUGGCUGUGAUUUAAUUCUCACAUUAGUAGGUCACGUGACACUAAUUUGCUGAGCAAUUAAACAAAACACGCGCGUCCCUCACAACGUUUCUUAUUCCAUCUUCUUCCCUUCAUUCAACGUAAAACCUUUCUUUUUCUGCAAAAACCAUCACUACUUCUUCCAACCAAAUACAACCAAACGUUGCACUUCAUGGAUAAAGAUACAUUAAUUUGAUUUGGACAACUUGCACUUCUAUUGAGUUACGUUCAUCAUUCUUCAUGGACAAAGAUACAUCAACUUCUUUUCAAAUUUCUCAGGUAUAUUAUAAUUAGUAUGACUUAAAUUCAUUUGUCAUCUAACUAUUAAUCAUAUUCAACUAUCGAUCCCUAAAAUAUAUAUUUUUUCUAUGAAAUUUCAUUUGCCUUGUUAUAUCACCUCAUAUUCAACUAUUGAGUUACGUAACUUUUUUUUUCUUUUCAUGGGAUGAUAUUGGGUUUAUAUAUGGGUGUGUAUUAGCUGGUUUUUUUUUUUCCUUUUCUAUUUUCUUGUUGGUUUUAUUGCUGUUCAAUGGUGGGUUUGGCAUGCGGUGAGUAUGUGCAUCAUGACAGCCGCAAUUGUCCCCAAAGAUCAUCUCCAUAAUUUUGGUAAGAAGCCCCUUUCAAAAUGUACUUAUUUUGAUCUUUUUUGUGUUCAUGUUUAUGGUGCAUUUGUUUUGAUCUUUUUGUGCUCAUGUUUAUGGUGCAUUUGUUUUGAUCUUUUUGUGCUCAUAUUUUUACUUGAUGUUUUUAGGAUUGGAAGAAUGACAUAGAAGAAGGAUGAAGGAAGUUAGACAAACCAGAUGAAUAACAUAGAAGAAUGAAUGACACUUCCUGUUCUUUAUGAUAUGAUUUGAAAGUUUAGUUUUGUGAUCAUGCUAGCAUAUUUUUGUAUCAAUAACUUAAAAUUGUAAUGCAGAAUUUCAAUUUGUGAUCAUGCUAGCUUAUUUUGUAUCAGUAACUUAUUUUGGUGAAUGCAGAAUUUUAGUUACCAAGUAUCACUCCUAUUAUUAUGAUGUGCCUACUUUUAUGCAGCUCAUAACAAAAUGCCUAUUUUUAUGUCAAAAUGAACUAGAAUAAAAUAACAGCAUUUUGGUGAGUUUUGGUGGCUGACAGUUUUGUGGUUUUAUGUUUCUUCUAUGUAUCAGCAGCUGUAUUUUGUUCCACAGUCAUGUUUCAUUCCUGUUUUUGUGCCACUGUCAACUAGAAAGUAUAACCAACAAAAUAUAAUGCCAAUUUUAUUUCGUUCCAUUAACUAUAAUGCCGUGUAAAUGGCCUUAUGGUCUCGAAAGUAUAACCAACAAUGAAUACCAAUUUUAUUUCAUAUAGUAUAUAAUUUGCUUUACAAUGCAAAUGUGAAUUACAUCACAAAAUACACAAAAUAGAAAUUACAUUUGAUGUUGCAAAAAGAGUACAAUUAAGGAGGGCCUUAAAACAAAGGGUGCCUCUCCACCAAAAUCAAAACUCAACAAAAAAAACCCUGGAAACCUGCUAGAAACCAAAAUAGCAAUAAAAGCCAGCCAGAAGCAACUCCGAAACACGCUAGCAAGCCUCCCAAACACAACACCAAAUCACAACUGCAGUGGCAUCACGGAAAAACUGCAACUCUGCACAGGACUGCUGUCAAACACAGCAGCACAUAAAAUCUAUUUUUUCUUAUUCUUCAAGUUCUUAUUCUCUGUUUGUUGUCUAGCAUAUAAAUUUCCUUGAGAAGCAUCCAUGCUUGACCAUUUCACACAUUGCCAUCACCUUAUUCACUGAAAAUUGAACCUAAAUCCACGUAAAUUCAAAAAGUAGUUAAUAGUUUUUUUGAAUGAUAUUUAAUCAGUAUAACAAAAAUCAAGCAAAAAUCAAGCAUUUUACUCCAUCAAUCUCUAAUUAUAAAACUUUUCUAAUAAAAUUAGGCAUCAACAAGUACAUAUAUUACAACUAGUUAGUUAAUUCCUCUUUAACAUUAACAAAAAGGGACUGCCACAAGCAGAAGCAGUGCUGAAACUUACUCAUAUGAGCAUGACAAAGUUGCAAAUGAAUACUUGAAUGACACACAGAAAGUACAUGUGUUGCUUUGGUGAAUAAUUUAAUUAGAAAAAUGAAGAAUGAAAAGCACUUAAUAAAUCACAACUUUCAAAUUCAAUAUUGACCACACCACAAUCUAUGUCUACUAAAAGAAGUAUAUAAUGGGAGAGGAAUGUUCCUUUUAACAAGAAGAAAAUGUAUGCUCCAUUCACGCAGUUCAUGCUUAUAUGAGCACUUACGAAGUCAAUAGCUCUGUACGGAAAGGAGAACCAUCAGUGACAAGAAUGUAUAUUAAAGUUCCAAGCAUAACAACACCCAAAAUGCUGAAAAGGAUUUUUAAAGUCGCAACAACAUAACAAGAUGUAAAAAAAUUGGGGUAAACAAUUUCCAACCUGUUAAUAACCGAAAUUGAGAAGUGGCUGUCGAGAUAUCGUCGGAAUUGAGAAGUGGUUGUGGAGAUAUCGUCGGAAUGACCGUUUUUGGAGUAGAACAAUGACUAAAGAAAGAAUGGUGCUGAAACGAUGAAGAAAGGAGAACUUUCAGAAAUCGCGUGAGGUGAGAGAAAUCAACGCGCGUGAAAUUGAUGAAAAGAGAGUCAUGUGA